GUGGUGUGUGAAGAGAGCACGCUUCGAGGUGAGCUCAUCAGUUCUUCUUGGGUCCCCUGGACCUUACCAAACUCCCCAAACUUGCCUGGCAUUCUCAGGGGAGAGUCAGAAUGAAUUUGGUGACAUUUCCAAUGUGGUUGAAAGUUCCCUUGAAUUUCAAGUUCCCAGCAAGUUCGUAGCUAGUACCCUGCUAAGUCCAGCUCUUGCAAGAACAGGCCCGGUUCUGAGCAGGCCUGAAAACCCUGUGACUGGACCAUUUGUUCUCCCUCACAAGCUCAGCUACCUUGUCCAUCAAGUGAAGCUCCUGACAAGCUGAACGAAGCCAGACACGGAAGAAUGCAUUUUGUGUGUCAGGGUUGGUGACUUCACUGCCCCUCAGAAGUCCCUGUUGUUGAAGGCCUGGUCCCUGAUGUGGAAGUUUUCAGAGGUGUAGCCUUGGGGAGGUGGUUGGGUCAGGAGAGCUGUGACCUCAUGAAUAAAGAAGUCUAUUUAUGGAUUCAUGAUUUAAGGAGUUUGGGGAGAGAUUCUUCAUGACCAAAGCAAGUUCCCUCUCCUUGUUUCCUGGCAACCGUGAGGCAAACAGCUCUUUUGCACCAUGUGACCAAGAUGGUCUGCCUGUUCCAGGCCCAAAGCCAUGUGUGUGGGGGUGGCGAGUGAUCGUGCCCCGAAAACUCUGAACUCUCGAGCCAAAAUAGACCUUCCUUCCUUACAUGUUGGUUAUCUCAGGAAUUUUGUCACAGUGGUGUGAAGUGAAUACAUUAUAUGAUGCCACUUAUAGGAAAUAUCCAGAAGGGCAAAUCCAUACAGGGAAAGAUGAGUGGUUUCCAGGGGUUGGAGGGAGGAGGGAAGGAGAAGUGACCAUUGGCAGGCACAAUCUUACUUUUUAAGGUAAUGAAAAUAUUCUGUGGUCAGAUAGGGGUGAUGAGCCCACAACUCUGUGGGUUGUAUAUAUCAGAAGUGUGAAUUUUAUGGCAAGUGAAUAAUAUAUCAAUUAGAAGAACAAGCCAGUGGUGGAGAGCUUAUCUGGCAUGUGUGAGGCCUUGGGUUCAAUUUCUAGUACUGUGACAAAUAAAUAGAAUGCAUAUGAAGGACUUUUCACCACUGACAUUUUAUAGUUCUACAAAUAAGGUUUUGUUUGUUUCUUUGCUUAUUUUUCCCCCCAAUUGAGCUUAUUCUAGAACAUUGUAGAAAGUAAAGAUAAAAAAAAAAAUUCUGGUUUGAUCUUCUCUUUGCUCCUAAGCUGCAGAGUAUGAUUAUUGCUGCUUAUCCAGCUGCUGGUUUGCCUUGCAGUGAGAACGUGAUAAUUAUUGGCAAAUUUGCAAGAUGGGCAGAUCUGGGAAUAAGGGAAGAUAUUCUUUUUGAUUCUGGCCUUAAGAAAUGAAAGAUAAAUAUGUUUAUCUCUGUGGGCUUCAGUCCCCUUUCAGUGAGCAGUUUGAGCUUGAAUUCAAGUGAUUUGGCUCUGAUACAAAUAGCAUACAUUAUAUGCAAAUUUCCCAAGCAUAUGAACACAAUCACAUUCACAGUUGGAAGAAAGUGAAACAAAAUCUAUAUUUAACUACACAAUCACUUAUUAUGCUAAAAAUACCCUCUUUCAAGACACAUUCUUUUUUCCCCCCAGUGGUUGGAAAAUAAAUUUGUACUAUGCCCUCUGUGGUGAGAUCAAUUGUAAAAUUAUGGCAUAAAAUUUUAAUCUGCUAUUUUUUCUUCUUUGAGCAAUUUAUUUUUGAAAGCAGAGAAAUAAUGCCUUUCUCCUGCUUCUAGGCCUUUGAGCAAAAGAGAUCAUUUUAAACACCUGUUUUGCUCCAAGAACUUGUGAGAUUCUAGAAUAUGUAUGGUGAUGCGUGCCUGCCGGCUGCCCAGUGCUUGCUCAGGAUGCAUCUUGGGGACACUGCCAGUUAGCUGGAACUUGGGAAGCUUGGGUUUGGGGCUCUCCAUCAGCAUCCGUGCUGGAAUCGCUGUGGUUCAGGGAGGAGGCGUUGCUGCCCCUAGAGAUGCCUCAGAGCUCUCCACAGCUCCGAAAGGGGGUGCUUUUUCAUCUCCCUAGCACUCCCACACCCAUUUACCUUUAUCUCUCUUCUCUCGUGAUGGAAGCAAUCAAACAACUUUAUAGCCUAUAAAGAUGUUUUCUAUGAUAUUUUUUAAGGAGUGCUGAUAUAGUUGAGAUCUUGGAUUUCCCCUGACCAAAGGGGUAAAAAUUAGAAAAGCCAGUAUAUGAUUUCUCAGGGGACUAGAAGCCUGUGGGAGUAUCCUGGUGGCAGGUGAUAGUGUAGGGUGUGAAGGGCUGGGGUAACAGUGUGCAUUGGUACAUUACAAACCCUGAGAAGCCUAGAGGAUAUUGGCUUUCCAUAUUUAAGGAAGUGGCAUAUGAUUAGUUAGUGAUUUAACUAACAGAGUUUCAUUUCUUUCUCACAUCACAGCCCACUGUGGGUUGGGUGACCCUGCUACAAAGAGUAACUUCAGGAUUCCAGUGCCUUGUACAAUUUGGCUCAAUAAUAUAAAAUAUCUCUACCUAUAAAACUGUUAAAACGCUCUACCAAAGUAGGGGUCUUUCACCCCCAGCUCCUUGGAUGGAGAAAGAGGGAGAGCCAAGUUUCUUGAGGCAGAUUUUCAGCAUCUUGACUGGAAGAAGGUUUCUUCUCUUUAUCUCCCCAUUCUAUUGGCCAUAACUAGAUACAAUCUGAGUGAAAGGGAGGCUGGGAAUGGGGUUUCCUUGUGUCCCCAUGAAGGAGAAAUUGGAUCCGAAAGGAUCAAGUCCAUCUCUUGUGGAUCCCGUCUGGUCUCCAACAAUCAAUUUCUCUCUUUUUCUUAAAUGUGAAAUAUGCUUACCUCCAUCCCAUGGGCAACAAUUUAAUGUCCUGACCAAUGAACCCAGAUGUCCAGAUGAGGUUCAGGCCUCUUCACUAGAUCCAGAUGUGUGUUCUCACAGUCUGAUGAACCAUGAAGGUAAGUUACCUGUCUGUCCCAAUUUCUCAAUUUCCCUCCCUGGAUAAGGGCCCCAUUAUAUAUUAGGAUGGAGAUGGAUGUUCAUGGUAUCCACUCUCAUCUAAAAAGGAGAAACACACUGGAUGAAGAAAUCACUAGUUAUAAACGUGGCCACUGAGGCCCCCUGACCAGAUCUCCCCUCAGGACCAAUGCCCUUUGUCUCAGCGGCCCACUGUGCUGGCUGCUGAUGGUUCACAACUGAGUGCCCACCAGGAAUUGUCAUUAGAACAAGGAAGACUCUGACCCAUUGACGGCAGCUUGCAUUUAAUGAUUAAUGUGGGAUAUGAAGUCAUAGCCCUUUUGCCUCAAACGGGACAAUUCUGAAGGGCCCUCCAAGCCCCCAGGCUCCUGUGGGAUCAGCCAGGUCCUUUGCUGCAAUUACUUUAUGAUUCAACAUUUCCCUCUGCCCAGUCCUGCUUCUCUCACUUUAGAGGUGGUGUUCCAGUGACAUUUUCCAAGUGGUCUUUUUAAAUCUGGGAACAUUUUAAAAUAAGGGAAAUGGAAAGUACAUCCUUCUUAGGGGUUUUGACACUUGUCUCCUGCUUGACACAGGUCAGGUUCAUGUUUAGAUGGGCCAAAGACUUUUUGAAUGAAUUUGUGAGGUUUUUUUUUUUUUUUUUUUUUUUAGUUUGUGAUUUUUUUUUGGAAAAUGCAAUUCUUUCAACAUCUUGAUGGCUUCUCAUUUUUAUACUCCCAGUCAGUUCCCUGUGUGAUAGGCACACCCUAAGUCCUUUCCUAAAUAUAGUUCUCAGGCCUGUUUGUCUUUUCAUCCCCUACCUCUCUGUCUCAACGAAAGCUAUCUUGAAGUGAUCAGAAUUGAAUUGGAUUAAUUGAAUCAUAAUUUAUCAUUGCUCUGAGUCACUUCUUUCAACUGAGGAAUUUUUCCUAGACUUUGCAUAUCAAUGUCUUUGAAAAUCUCCUGCAUUACUUGUGGGGGUUUAGAAUCUUUUAACUUUUCCAAUCUCGAAAAAACAUUUGAAUUUCUGGACUUUCUGUAUUCUCUUUCAUUUCUUCCUGCAAAGCAUCUGUUUUUUUCCUUGAGCUCUUGUCUUACAUUAUCUUGCCAAAGAUAGCCAUUGGGAGUCAACUCAUACCAACAAUGCUCUCUUUCCAGACCUUCUGUUAGAGCUGUUGGUUAACAAGGAAUGCCAUCAAUAUCUCAAGUGAUCCCAGCUGGAAACGAAACCAAAUUUCUUCCAACUGCAUAACCUGGAGACCUGUCAUCUCAGCCUGUCGGCAUUCUUGGUUCCCAUUUACUAAUGUUUGACCAAUACCAUUUAUUUUAGCUUUAUGUUAUGACAGCAUCCCAUUUCUCAGUAUUAAAUUUUGUAUGAAAUUGACUUAGCACACAAAACAUUAAAUCUGUCCUAAUGUCAGAGUUUGUUGCAGAUUAGAUUGCUUUCUGAGGAUGUUUUCCUCAAUGCCAUGGGUCUUGGAGUAUUUAAUCAUGGAACUACCAUCUCCAUGUUCUUUGGGUUUUGCCAUGUGGAUGAAGAGAGAGCAAGAGUUGAGGAUCUUUGGAAGAGUUUAAGGGCCGGGCAUGGAACAUAGUAGGCCUCCCUCACUUCUUCUCACAUCCCAUUAUUCAGAAGUAGUUACACAGCCACAGACUCCUGGGCAAUUGCAUCUUGCUUUCUUCUCAAGAAAAGGAGGAGAGAUUGAGGAGCAUCCAGUUAUUUUUAUACUUUCAAAAUUCAUGUCUCUGUAUCCCAGAUGUUUCCUCUAACUGAAAAUAUUGAUUAAAUACUAUCAAAAGUUUACAUGGUAUUUCAGUUUAGAAAGUACUCAUAUGCACUGUAAGUUUGGAUCCUCCUCUGUGAGGUAUGUUUCAUUCUCCUCAGUAGAGGGUAACACUGUGGAGCAUGGAUCUCAUCCUAUGAUACUUACAAACCUUCUUUAUGUAGUUGGCAUUAGUAACAGAAAGUGACAGGAAGAAACAUUCUGUUGUCAUGAUUGUGUUUUAAGGUAAGAAAUAGAUAAUAUUGAACAAUAACAUGAAUAAAUAUUUAUUUACAAGUGAGAUCAGUGCUCUGUAGGAAAGAUAUAUGAUUAUGCAGGAAAACAUUAAAAAAUAUAGCCGAUGACAUUUCUUUUUGAAGUAAUGAUAAUAUUAAAAUUGGAUUAUGAGGACAGUUGCAAAACUCUGUAUAUUUAUUCAAAUACCACUGGUUGUGCCAGGAGCUUUGCCCAUGCCCUUAAUCCAGAACUCGGAGACUGAGACAUGAGGAUUUCAAGUUCAAGACCAGCCUAGUUGUUCAAGGUGGAUUUUAUGGCAUGAAAAUUCUUUCUCAAUAAAAAUGUUUUAAAAGAGGGAAAUACAUGCAGAAAAACAAUAUAAAACAGUUCACCCCUGUGAAUGCAUUGUAUAGAUUACACAUCCUGUGGAAAGUCAGAACCAUGAGAAAUUACUGGGGUUUUCUAUCAGGUUUUUUUGUCAUUUUCCAUAGGCUUUUUUUUUUUUUUAAUAAGUCAGGAAAUGUGAAAAAAAAAUACAUUUGAAAAGAAAACGUACACCAACCCAUUACCUCUUUGUUUUUGAAUCAUGUCCUAGUCUUACGGUGAAUUAUGUUAAUGAUGGAAUAAAAGUCAUGUUUUCCCUUGAUGACCUCCGCUACAGCAGGAACACACACUGGUCUAGUGCAAUGUCAUUUUUAUUUGUCCAGUUAAUCUAUCGGGUGUUUCUUAGCAAUUGGAGAGACAUGGCAAACAAAAACAAAAACAAAACAAACUAACUAUCCUAAACUGAAAGGCUCCAGGAAAGAAAGAUCCUUGGAGAACUCCAAACUUGAUGUCUGAAAGUGGAUCAGAGUUCUUUAGGGAGCAAAGAAAGAGGAGAACAUGCUGAACAGAGAUGAGUACAAAGGAAUCAUUUUGUUACAAGAAAGGCUCCUGAAUGUGAGUGCACAGAGGAAACCAGAUGGCGUCCAGUGAGACCUCUAUGGUGUCAACUGGAUAGACCAAGUAAAGGAUUUUCAUCUUUCCCCACCAAAGGAAUGGGAAACUACUGGAGAGUUCGAAGGCAGAGAGGCAAGGUUGAUUUGGAGGAGAGCACUUUCUUUUCCUGCAGCAUCUCUCACUAGAAUUUAAAUUCCUUGACUUCAUUCAGGUUCAAGGGGUUGAGUUGGGACCUUGAACUCUAGCCAUCUGGCUACAGAGGCUGCUGGACAAUGCCAAGUCGGCCAAGCUAGCACUUAUGGAAGGCCUUGGCCAGAACUAUCCCAUCAGUCACUGAGUACUCCUAGGGAUGCAAGAAAUGAACUCAGAAGUAUACAACUGCUGAGCAGGUCAGAUGUCCUUUUUGUGCCAACAAUAUGAAUUCUAGAGUCGAGGCUGUUUGCCUCAGAAGGUAGAGAGUCAAGCUUCUGAGAUGAACUGACUCAGGAUGCACUGCUCAAAUGUGGACCCAGGGGAUUGCUCUGAGGAACUCAUGUGGCCUUGAGAGCCGUGUGUUCACUCCAGUUUCCUUCAUAUGCUCUUCACUUUUUGGUUGGUCCAGUAUUAAACCAAAGCAAGGGUAAACGGGCAUAUGGCUGUAUUUGUUAUUUUGAGCUGGCGCCACGGCUGAUUAUUCAGAGCUUAUGCCAAACCAGUGGACUUUCACCACUGAUAUUGGCUGUUCCUCAACCUUGGAACACCUUUUGAAUCAGCCCAGCCCAGGCUGGCCGUGAAGUCAAAGGAGAGAUUCAUGGUCAUUAGAUAAAAUAUCCUACCUUCUUUCCCUCCAAAGAUUCUAACGUAGACCAGCCAAGGGUCUGAACUGCAUGGGUGAGGCAAUUAAGAUGGGUGCAGCGGAAAUAAUGGAAAUGAUGUAUUACUCUGUGGAACUUCUCUGAAUUGAUGUCCUGUUCUCAGAUAUGCAGUGGGGGUUUCCCACUUCUGCCCCAACCAUCCUGGGAAAUUCUCCAAGGCUGCCCAGUGACUUCCUAUCUGCUCCAUGACUGGGGUCAGUGAGCUUGGGGACUAUUUUUUUCUUCAUUUGAAGUUCAGUGCAGAGGAAAAGUAAAUGUACCUUCUACUUAUAAAGAUCCUGUAGUAGAUACUGUGGUAAGAACAUUACACAUGAGAUCAUAUUUAAUCUUCAUAACAAAGAUUUUCAAAUGUAUGCUUAUCCUUUCAUAAAUGAGAAACUUGAGUGUCAAGGCAGUUACCUGUUGAGAGCCGAAGGGGCCCCAGCAAACUUCCAGCUGCCAGCAAACUUCCAGCUGCCAGCUGAUGAUUGGCUCAGAGCGGCCCCAGCAAACUUCUAGCUGACAACUGAUUGGCUCCUCUGCGGUGAUGCUCAUUGGGCUGUUUCCCUGCCCUUUCAGACCACGGAGCUGCUCAUUGGGGGACUCUUUUUUGGCUCCGCCCAUGCGACCCAGCUAAUCGGCCUCAAGAGCAGGAGGAGUGGGGGAGGUUGAGACGCUUGUGGGAAGCCGGUGGUGGCAGUUGGGCUCUGAGGGUUUUCCUGAGGAGCUGUGUGGUGCCCUGUGUGUUCUAAAAAUAAAGUUCGUUUCUUUUGACAAGUGGCUCCUGAAUUGUGCCCAGCCAGACUGCGGCCGUUACCUAAUAGUACAUAUUAUGCAGAUAGGAAGUAAGAGAACAAAGACCUUUCUAAUACUCUAGUACUUACAUAUUCAAUAAUGAGUCUCGUUAAGCAUAUUUUAAUAAAUAAAAAACAUGGGGCUGGGGAUGUGGCUCAAGUGGUAGCACGCUUGCCUGGCAUGCAUGCGGCCUGGGUUCAAUCCUCAGUACCACAUACAAAACCAAAGAUGUUGUGUCUGCCAAGAACUAAAAAAUAAAUAUUAAAAAAAUUCUCUCUCUCUCUCUCUCUCUUAAAAAAAUAAAUAAAUAAAAAACAUUUGAAGACCAAUUUUUGUGUGUCUCGACAAAAUCAUAUCUGUAAUCAGACAGAAUUGGGCUUCAGUAACUAUCGGCUGUGUUGUCUCUUCUUACAUAGAACUUUGGGAGUAGGAGAAAGUGAUCCAAAGUGAGGUAGUAGCCAUCUCAUCCAACAACUGAAGUUAAGCACAAAGAACUGGGCUAAUUCAUAGCCAACAUACCAGACUGACCAAGCUCAGAGAGACCCAAGUCCUCAUCAAAGAAAUUCCUGACCAUCCCAGAGCAUUAGCAUGGGCUUUGAAAUCAGAGGACCCAUGCGGAGUCCCGGCCCUGCCACUUUCCAACUGGAUGACCUUGGAGAACGUGUGUCUCACUGAGUCUGGGUCUAGAAAAAGAUAUGAAUGUUCAAUCCAAAGAUGCCUAGAGUUGUUCUUCUAAACCAGGACCACCAUGUACUUAAGGGCCCUGAAGCUUGGUACCCAACAUAAUCCAGAGGAGCGCCUGCCUUGGAGGACAGUAGCUAAUGAAGACAGUGUCUAGAAUUUGUUUCAAACCCACAGCCAUUCUAUCCCACUUCACUGCCUCUCAGGGACUUGUUACUUAACAAACACUGGUUGGUAAACUGUUUUCCACAUGUUUGUCUCUCCUCUCUUUGUAAGAUACCCAGUGAGUGGCUUGGUAUGUGCUGUACCUCAUAUUUAACAUCAGUGAAGUGGGGAUAACAUUGUCCACCUACUUCUUGGUGGCUUUGAGGUAGAUUAUGACAUUAAUAUUUACAAGAGACUGUGAAGGGAAAGAUAAAGGCAUAGAGUGAAGUCUGAGUCUUCUUUCUUCUCUGUGACAAAAUACUCUAGUUAAUCAACUUAUAAAAAGUAAAUAAUUAUUUUGGCUCAUGGUUUUACAGAUAUCAGCCAAGGAUCGGUUGGCCGUGUUGUUUCUGGACCUGUGGUGAGUCAGCACAAUAUGGCAGGGGCACAUGGAGCAAAGCUGCUCACCUCUGGGGGACCAGGAAGCAAAGAGGGAGAGAGGAAGGGGCUGGGACCCCAACUCCUCCUUCCUCCACGAGGCCUUACCUCCUAAAGGUGCUACCACCUGCCAAUACUGCCACAGACUGGCACCCAAGCCUUCAACAGAUGGGCCUAAAGUCAACUUAUUAAAACAUUGUGAUAAAAGCAAUGGAAUUUUAUUGACAUAUAUAUGUAUGUGGAGCAGUCUUUAUGUAGUAAGUUGACAUGUAAGCCUGGUAGGUCAUAAGUUAUGGAAUUGGAAACCAGAUCAAAGUGGAAAACACCUAGUCAACCGGAUCACCCAAAUCUAUGCCAAAAGUUUUGCUGCUUUUUCUGGCUUCAAUCAGCAAUCCUUUGUGGGUACAAACCUGAAUUCUUAGCCUCUGGCCCAGGCAAAAUAUCUGCACAUGCCUAUGGUUCCAGUGGCUGCAGAAAUGAGAUUAAACUCUCCAAAGUUUUCCCCUCUCUGGAGUCCUAGCCUCCCUCUACCCCACCCAUUUUUAUUGUUUUAGCAAUUUAAAAAUAGAGUAGGAAGGUAUUUGAGUCAGAGAAAUGCCAUGGCAAGAAGCCAAGAGAAGCCACCUGAGUUUGGGGGAAUUUAGAGAAGUCAAUGUUAAUUCAGUGCUUAUGGAAGAUCCCAGGUAACACGAGGGAAGCAGGUAGGAAAAAGAAAAGGUACUCUAGUGAACUGUGGGGCUUAUAGAAACCUGCCAAGUAUCAAACCAUCAAAGGGUCCAGCUUCUAUGAAGCAUGGGCUAAUCAUCGCCAAGUGGAAAAACAGGUUAUUCUCACUUUCAAAUAAGAAGCGGCAAAGACCACAAUUUUUAUGCAAAAUCUCCUGAUUUUUAAAUACUGGCCCAAUUUUCUUUUGAAAACACUAAUCAGGCCAAAUACUUACUGCCUGCUCUGUGCCUUUUUUAUUCUGAUUUUUCCUGUUUAUAAACUGGGGUUAAUAAUUCCUAUUUGGCAGUGUUGUAAUGAUUACAAUAUUUAGGGUCUAGCAUUUAUUUGAUGCACAUAACCCUUAUUAAUGACAUGCAUCUUUAUUACCAGUUACAUAAGGAGAGCAUGAUAGAUGAGCUACUUAGAGAAUGCCUCAUCUCAGAGGGGCUCAGGCAGACACAUGAUGUUCUCUUGUCCAGAAUAUUACUGAGGACAUUAAUUCUUUAGACUCAGAGUUGAACUCAAUCAAAGGUGGACUAAAUCUUCUUUGCAAGACCAUUUGACUGGUUGGGCCUGCCUACAUAUUGGGUUAAGAAAUGUUCUGCAUCUGUAGCCAGGCUCAGUGCAAGGGGGGCCUCAGAAUUGACUGACGAGUCCUGCCAAAGUCCCCCAAAGUAAAAGCACCCUCAUACAUAGCACACUUUCUAUCGGAGACUAGAUCAUUUCUAAGUUCAUGUCCAGCCCUGAGUGUACAAAUAAGAUUGAAUCAAAUCUGACCUCUCUCUAGUGCUUUGGUCUACAUUGUGAAAAUUGGUGGCAAUGAAAUAUUGAUUAAUGGAGAUUUCUAUGUGAUAGACUAUUAUAUAAGCCAGAUUUGUCUGUUCUUAUCCUGGUGGAGUAUCCACAUCCAGCACAGACAGGUUUAUUAACAAAUUUAUCUAAUGUCCUGAUUUUGUACUACUCAUGAUGUCUUCUUUACAAUUCAUUUCAGUUUAAUUGGAAAGACACUUCCUGGUUCCAUAGUGAGAAGCUAAGUCCACACUGAAGAAUAAUACUGGAUGCUUUUACUAGCAUCUGACAUGCUUAUCCCUGGCACUCCCAGUGGCACAAACAAGAAAGAAUGAAUAAAAUGUAAGGGAAGGUAGACAAUCCUAUACCUCCCUCCAUGCUGUCUCAGAUUUCCCGGCAAAACUAAAGAGAAUGAUUGCCUCCAUCAAAGAUUUUGCAGCCAGAAUCUGUAACAGAAGUCCCAAGAAUAAAGACUUUUUAGGGACUCUUGUUUAAUACUUUGAGAAAAAUGUUAAGAAUACUAAACAAUAACACAUGAAUUUUUCCCAACUUAUAGGAUUUUUUUUUAUCUUAAAAUUUUUUAAUCUCUUUGGUGAACAGAAGAGUGAGCAGACUUCCUUUGGAUUCCUGGGAUCUUUACAUGCUUAUAGGACACAAAGGAGCAAGGAUGAACUGGCUGGGAAGCAUCACAGAGUGGGCAAGAUUAAAUUAGGCUUUUAAAAAAUAAAGUUUCACAGCUAUAAUCAGACCUGAGUGGAGGGUAGAUGAUUAUACAUUCAGAGGAAGUAGUUUGUGUAAAGGGAUGGAGACAUUAAAUCAUCCAGCCUCUCCAGGAAACUGCAAAGGCUUUGAGGCUGUUGCAUAUGAAGUUUCCAGAUUAGGCAUGGCAUGGAUAAGGCUGGUGAGUGGGGGGAGCCAACGGGGACAAUAAGCCACUCUGUUAGAAGCAUCACAUUCUUCUAAAUAUAUAUAUUUUUCUUUGCAUUUUUAAUUGCUCUUUUUCUUCUUUCUCAACUUCCCACUCACAGAUGAAAAGGCAGAUGAAGUAGAAGAGGUUUUUUUUUUUUCUUCAUUCAUAAGUUGUAGUUCAAAAUUAAAUCAUCCGUGACAAACCUCUCUGCCUGGCCUUGGCCACCUAUCAAGGGCCUCCCCUCACUGGUGAUCGAUGGUCCUUCUGGCUCUGGAACUGAGCCAAAAAGGAAGCAGCCACUGAUGAAAGGAGGAGGCAGCAAAGCAGAGAGACCCAGAAGUCCCGACUGGAGCACAGGUUGAGAGUUUCCUUUUAGUAGGAAGCGUUCUGCCAAGGUGGGACUGUUCAGCCAACGGCCUACAGACAGGUGGCAAUGUCCUCCAAAAGCCAUUAAGAAUCCACCUUCUGGGUUAACCUUGUGAUCCUUUGGAGGAAAUAUUGACAAUAGAAAGCUAGACUGUGCUUUGGAAAAACACAGACCCUCACUCUGAGGGUCUGAGGGCCAAAAGCCUUCGAAGAUGCCCUCCCAGCCUCCUCCGGCAGAUUCCAUAACAGUCCCCCUCCUUAAUUUUCUGGUUCUGAUUCCCACUAGAAACAGCUUCGAGAGGUUUUCAGAUGAUCAGGAUUAGAAGCAACAAUAUUGCUCUUCCUGAGAACUAAAGGAACUUUAAAUAGCAUUCAUAAUGUACCUCAUCUUUGAAGUCUUCUGUAAAUACUCUACAGAUGGAAUAAUUGGCCAUAUUUCCAAAUUCUUUUGGAUUAUGCUUGUAUCUUAUGCAAUCUCGAGAUUGUUGUGGUAAAGAGGGUGCUGGGAGUAAUGAGAAUUGUCAAUAAUGUUGUUUCCAUAACCUUGAUGUCUCCAAAUGCACUGUAUUGGUGAUAGCUUCUGCUUGUGUGCAGUUACAGCAAAUGUCACCUUAUUUGAUUCAUAGAUGUCCUCAACAACCUCUGAAGGAACUUGUGAUGACUCCUGUUCAGAUACAGGAGAACAGAGGCUCGGAGGGGCUGAUGGACCUUGCCACCUUCACAACACUGCAAGUAACGUGCUGGCUUAGAGCAAAGCGUCCUGGGUUUCCAGUUACUUUCCCUUAAUGUCCUCAGGGCACCUCACACACUUGCGUCUUUGUCCUGAUAGUUCAGGGUGUCUGUAAUACUCCUUCACCCCUGAUUUUUAAAAAGAUCUUUAAUCUCUUUGCCUUUUGAACAGAGCGUAGGUGUCACCAUGUGUAGGUGGCCCUGUGCAUCCUCCCAGUUCCAGGCCAGGUGGUUGCUGUGUACAGCUCUGUUGCAUUUGGGCUCAGCCCUCUGCAAUACACUGUCCUGCUCAGACUGCUUACUCAGAGAUCCUAUAAGGCCGUGACUCUGAACUCUAUCUACACAUCACACAGAAUAGUUGACAGAAAGCUGGUGCUCAAUAACUGUUAGAAGUUCAAUAUAUCUCAUCAAAUAUUUUGCAUUUGUGUGGCAAAUGAUAUGUAUAUUUACAAAUGCGUACAUAUCACUUGGCCCAUUUAAUGAUAUGCACAAGCAGGUGUGAUCAGUGAAGUGCUACAUCCAGGGCGACAUUCCAAUUAAAUGUAAGCACUGUGGAUUCGCUUAGAAAAGUCUGAUUAUAUAGUGAAGGGGUUUCCACAUAUUAUAUAAGCAAUAUUAUAGAAAUAUUUAAAUUCUUAAAUCCCUCAAAUUAGUAGUAAAGACAAAAAUAUUGUCCUCUUUGAACCCUAGUAUGCUCAUAGCAUUGCAUAUAAACUCUCUAUUGCUGAUAGAAAGGCACAUACUAGUCCUGGAUCUAUGGAUGGAACAAGUGUUGUAACCGAUAAUGUGUAUGCUUUCCUUUGUUUUGCAUAUAAGAAAGCUCAGUUCUCUUCUGAACUCUUAAGCAAUACUGUGAUCUUAAACAUUUUAGUUUUAAUUUUUUACCACUAUUUCUACUUCAGUAUGUUUAAUUCAUUUAUAUUAUAUUCAAUUUUUUUUAAAAAAAAUAAGGAUGUUUGUAAGUAAAUAUAUACAUGCUGCUGCAGUUUCAACCUUAGUAAUAUAGAAUACUUGCCAAUGAAUGUAAUAUUUUGGCUCUGGACUCCAUUAACAACUUAAAAACUCACAUUGAAGCCUUAAUGUCCACUGCCUCAGAAUAAUUGUAUUUGGUGAUAGGGCCAUUAAAGAGGUGAUUAAGUUAGAAUGACACCAUUAGGGUGGACCUUAAUCCAGACUGACUGGUGUCAUUGUAAGAAGAGGGAAUUUAGACACAUGGAGCACCAGCAGGGUACACAUACAGGGAAGAUUGAGUGAGAACUCGGCCAGCGAGUGGACGUCUAAAAGCCACGAAGAGAGGCCUUAGAAGAAAUCAAUCCUGCUGACACCUCUGUCUCUUCCAGCAUUGUGAGUACAUGGAUUUACACUGUAUAAGUCACUCAGCCUGUGAUAUUUUGCUAUGACAGAAUUAGCAAACCAAUACAAAUUUUGGUAUAGGAAUGCUGCUCUAACAGGUAUCCAAAAAUGUGGGUGUGGCUUUGGAACUGGGUAAUCAGUAAGGGCUACAAGAAUUUUAGGUGCUUCUUAGGAAAACUUCAAUUGCCUUGAAGAGACCAUGUAGACAUGAAAGGUGCUUUUGGUGAAACUCAGAUGGAAAUGAGAAACCUGCUGGUGAAGCCGGAGGAAAGCAGUCCUCACUCUACAUUGGCAGAGAGCUGGGCUAUGUUGUUCUAGAGCUUUGUGAGGGGCAGAAAUUAAGUAUAAUGAACUUGUGUGUUUUACAAGGUAGAUUUUUAAGUCAGUGCUGAAGACAGGUUCUGGUUCCUCCUAGCUACACAUUGUAAAAGGCAAGAGGGAAAAUACUGAAGAAGGAAUUGUUCACUAAAAAGAAACCAAAAACUGAAGAUUUGGAAAAUUCUUAGGUCAUCAAUGUUGAAAAGAGAACAGAAGAAAAACAAAAAGAGAGAAAAGAAAACAUUCUGGAGAGACCACCAAGGGUGCUCAGGCAAUGAUUUGAUAAAGAGAUGGUGGCUAUGACCUUGGGGAACCAUUAGCCAUCUUGAGCCAGGAAUAGAGAUGUGCUGAGCCAGGAGACACUACCAAUUUGGAAUAAAAGGAGCAGAGACCAGACAAAUUGAAGAAAACCAUCAGACUGUGGAGACUCUAUAUAAAUGGGGCAAUGGAAUUCCCCAUCUGUGAACUUGCAUAGGCCUUUGAGAGUAAGGAGUGAUCCCAAAGGUAAUUCAGAGAUCAGCAGGCUCCCACUGCCAGCAGAGGCCCAGGAAUGACAAUUCUGGGGAGGGGUGGGACUGGAGCUGUCUCCUCCUGGUUUCUUAGGGGAGUGGGGCCACCUUCUCUGUGGUAGUGGGUCAGACACUCACCAUCUUUGGCUGGGAGGAAUGGGCUGGCACUACAGGGGGCCUGGAGGACUGAGUAUCAAAUCAAUGUAAAAUGCAAAGGAAUGUUUCCUGCUAGGUUUCAGACUUGCCAUUCUAUUUUGGAAGAAGAUAAUUUUUCUGGUUUCUUGGGUUCACAGGAAUUUUGCCUCAGGAUGAAUGUCACCUUGAGAAUCACCCUUGGUUGAUUAGACAAUGUUGUGGAUUUAGAGUGGAUACUGGAAUGGGUUAAGAAUUUUGGACUGUUGGAACGGGGUGACUGUUUUGCAUGCAAAAAAAAGCAUGAAUUUGAAGGACCAUUCAAAAAGCAAAACAAAACAAAAAAAAAAGAAAGAAAAAGAAAAAACAACACUCCAGUUUAUAAAAUUUGUGGAGAUUGAAAUAACUCUGGCUGAGUGUAUCCAAUUUUCUUUUCCCUUUUGGGCACUUGAGAAAAAUUUCUAGUUCUUACUUCGGGAGCAGGAGAUUAGCUCUAUCUAAAGAGCCAAGUGACAAUAGAGUAAGAAAUAGUGUAAAAGAAAGUGACGGCAGAAGAUAUAUCCUGCUAUGCUGAUAUACUUAAGAAAUUUCAGGUGAGAAAGAGCUAUCUCUGGAGCCAGUGUAAGCAUAGCACCUGCUAGAAGCAGCUAAGAAAAGAUGAGAAGGGUCGCCAAACCUGAAAAUCCACCUAUUCCUAACCGAAUGUGGGAUUCAGAGCUUGCAAUUAUUCUAUUUGGUGAAAGUGGACAGCACCCAGCCCGGAGAGGUUGUGACUUUGGUGCAAACAUUUCCAAUUUCCUGGAACUUGUUCAUUUAAAAUACAUGUUUAAUUUAUAACCCUGUCAAGUAUAGACUCAAAACAUACCCUGUUUGGAAGUACUUCUAUUAUACAUCUUUUUUUUUUCCCCUGAAGGGUAUUCAUUUUAUGAUUACACUACUUACUUUUUUAAAGUUAAACUUGCAUUUUGAGAUAAUCGUGAAUUUACAUGCAAUUGAAAAAAUAAAUUUGAGAUCAUGUAACCUUUACCUAGUUAUUUCAAAUGGUAAUUUCUUGCAAAACUGCAGUGCAAUAUCAAAAUCAGAAUAAUGACGUUGAUACAGUCAAGAUAGAAAACAUUUUCAUCAUCGCAAGGAUCCUUCCUGUCACCCUUUUAUGGCCACCCCCAUUGCCCUCCAACUUCACCCUCUCCUUACCCUAUAGCAACCUCUAAUCAGCUUUCCAUUUCUAUAAUUUUAUCUUUUCAAAAGUGUUACAUAAGUGGAAACAUGCAAUAUAUAAACUUUAGGGACUGGAUUUUUUUCUAAGAACGAUUAUCUGAAGAUUUUUCUAGAUUGUUAUGCAUAUAAAUGAUUCACUCACUUUUAUUGCUGAGCAGCAUUUCAUGUACCCAUGGCUGUAUCCCAGUUUGACCAUUUAAUCUUGGAGAUUUAUUUUUCCUAGUUUAACGUUAUUACUAAUAAACCAUUAUAAUCAGUUUUGUGCAUGUAUUUUUUGUGUGCAAGCCUCUUAUAUGAAUCUCAUUUUCUCCAAUAGAAUUUCAUGAAUACAAUUUGCUUGGUAACAUGGUAGUAGCAGAUUUAACUUUUAAUUAUUUGUUGUUCUUACUCAAUUUUUAGCAAACCAUCAAACUGUCUUCUAUUUUACACUUUUAUUUGCUGUGCAAAGUGAGUCAGUUUCUCUGCAUUCUCAUUAGUAUUACCUUACCACUUUUAAAAAAUUUUAAUUAUUCUGAUACAUGUGUGAUAUUUGUUUAUAGUUUGAAUUUACAUCUCCCUAAUGGUAAAUGAUGUUGAGCGUCUUUUCAUGUCUUACAUGCCACCUAUAAGUUUUCUUUACUUAAAUGCCUGUUCAUGUCUUUUAUCAUUGCUUAAGAAAUGGAAUUUUUGUUGUUGAUUUUUGAGAACACUUAUGUAUUAUUCUGGAUACUAUCUCUUUGUUAGGUAGGUUAUUGGCAAAUAUUUUUACCAACUCUUGAUCUUUCAUUUUCAUAUAAAUAAGGUUUUUACAUAGUUCAAAAUUUAAUUUACUAGUUUUAUUUUUGGAUAAUAUUUUGGAUCACAUUUUUGGGGUGAAGUCUUAGAAAUACUGCUAAAAUAUUUUUGAAGAUUUUCUUUUAAGUGUAGUCUAGAGGUUUUAUGGUUUCACGUUUGCUACUUAAGUCUAUUAUUUAUUGGAGAAAAAUGUUAUGUUAUAUAAAGUAUGAGACAUGGCAGGUUUUGCUUUAAAAAUCUCUAUUUGUUUAUUUAAGCUAUGUGUCUACAUCCUUCUGCCAAUGCCAUAUAUCUUAAUUUUUAUAGCUAUGUAAAAAUCUUUGUAAUAAGAAAGAUUGAUUUCUUCCAUUUUAUUUUUCCUCAAAAUUAUUCAGAAAUUUUAUUUUCUUUACUUUCUCAAAUAUAAUUCAGAAUAAUCCUGUCCAUAUUUACAAAAAUCUUGCUAAGAAAUGAGCUAACUGUACAUAUACAUGAAGAGAUUUGGCAUUUUUGCUGGUUUCCAGCCCAUAAAUAUGGUGAGUUCAUUUAUUUUGAUCUUUUGAUAUUUUUGUCAGCAUUUCAUAGUUUUCCUCAGAUAGACCCCAAAUAUAUAUUGCUCUAUUUAUAAUUUUUACAUUAUUUUGAGCAGUUAUAACCAAUAUAAUGAAUAUUAUGUAUUUAAUGUUGGUAUCUGUAUGUUCACUCUUACUAAAUAGAAAUGCAAUUAAAUUUUGUAUGCUUAUCUUAAAUCCCAUGACCUUUCUGACAUCAUUUAUUAGUUAUAGAAAUAUUUUUUAAGAGUUCUUGUGAUUUUCUUCUUGAUAUUCAUGCCAUUUGUAGUGGGAACAGUUUAACCUCUUUUUUUUUUAAAUUUUAAACCUGGUAUUUUGUUUUCUUGCUUGAUUGCAAUGCCUAGAACUUCUGCCACUAUGCCUAAUAAAAGUGAUGAAAGUGCAUGUUUUUACCCUAUUCUCAGUUAUAGAAGAAAAUCAUGCAAUUUAUUUUUAUUAAAUAUCCAGAAUGGGAAUGUCUAUCAAGACAGAAAGUCAAUUAGUUGUUGCCAGGGUCAUGGAAGGAGAGAGGGAUGGGAAUAUCUGUUAAUGGGGCAAUCAAAUUGAUAAAUUUCUUUACCUAUCUUUUUAUGAGAGUUUUUAGUACAAAUGGGUAUUGAACUAUGAACUAUGUCAAGUGCCUUUUCUGUACAGAUUGAUAUGUUCAUAUAAUUUUUUCCUUUGUCUUUUCCUACCAUUUACUGGUUUGGGGUUCAAAGCAAUACUAGCUUUAUAACAUUAAUUUGGAAGUGUUUCCUUAUUUUCUAAUUUUACCAGGAGAUUAUAGAAUUGCUUAAUUUUGCAUGAAACUUGUGGAAAAUUCUCUGGUGAAGUCACACAUGACAAUGCAUCUUUUUGGAAUUUCUUUAAUUAGAGAUUCAAUUUCUUGUCUCUCUAUCUCUCUCUGCUUCCUGGCCACCAUUAUGUGAGCAGCUUUCCUUCUGCCUACAAUCUCACCAUAGUGUUCUCCUUACCUCCAGCCCAAAGGGGUGGGAUGAGCCAACCAUAGACUAAACCUCUGAAACUGUACACCAAAAUAACCUUUUCUCCUCUAAAAUAACAAAAACAACAAAUUCAUUUCCUUUAAUAUUUACAGGGGUAUUCAGAUAAUCUGUUUCAUAUGAUGGAAAUUAUGGUUAGUUUUAGAAAAUGGUCCAUUUUAUGUUAGUUGUCAACUUUAUAUGAGUGAAGUUGUUCGUGGCAUUUUCAUAUUUUCCUUUUAAUGUGUUGAAUGAGAUGACAUGGUAGGGGUCAGAUUAAUUCAUUUCAUGAGUCAGAUAAGGGAGUCUCAAGUGUGUUUUCAGGAGCAGUUUCACUUCUCAGAAAAUAUUUUACCAAUUUGCUUGAGGAAGCUAUGGUGGGACAAUGGAGAAUGAGGUGGGAGGGUGAGUGGUAGUUAUGAUAGUAAUGAUAUUUUUCUACCCAUGUUCUUGGAACCUAACAAAGGAAGUCACUUCUUUGAGUCUCUUCACUGUACUUAAUCCUCUUGAUUUAACCUGCUUUGCAUGGUAUCCUUGAGCCUGAGGUCUUUCUGGCUCAGUUCACCUAUAGCAUGAACUCUCUAUUAGGCCAAGGUAUGAAUUUUUCUUGGUGUUGAAAAAGGGCUGUAGGUAUACUGGUAGAAUAACUAUCCCAUGCACAGUCUCAAUAAAUUUCCCUACUGGAGAUGGUUCUUUGAAAAAAUAAAUAAGAUUGACAAACCCUUAGCCAUUCUAACAAAAAGAAGGAGGGAGAAAACUCAAAUUACUAAAAUUUAUGAUGAAAAGGAAAUAUCACAGCAGACACCAUUGAAAUACAGAAGACAAUUAUGAACUAUUUUGAAAAUUUGUACUCUAAUAAAAUAGAAAAACUUGAAGACACCAACACAUUUUUAGAGGCAUAUGAUCAACCCAAACUGAGACAAGAUGACAUACACAAUUUAAGCAGAUCAGUUUCAAGCAAAGAAACUGAAGAUGCCAUCAAAAGCCCUGGACCAGACCGAUUCACAGCUGAGUUCUAUAAGACCUACAAAGAAGAAUUAAUAUCAAUACUUCUCAGUUUGUUCCAUAAAAUAGAAAAGGAAAGAACCCUUCCAAACUUGUUCUAGUAAGCUAGUAUCAUCCUGAUACCAAAAGCAGGCAGAGAAACAUCAAGAAAAAAAAAUUCAGACCAAUAUCCCUGAUGAACAUUAAUGCAAAAAUUCUCAAUAAAAUUCUGGCAAAUCAAUACAAAUACAUAUUUUAAAAAAUAGUGCACCAUGAUCAAGUGGGGUUCAUUCCAUGGAUGCAAGAUUGGUUCAACAUACCAAAAUCAAUAAAUAUAAUUCAUGACAUCAAUAGACUUAUAGAUAAGAAUCAUAUGAUUUUAACAAUUGAUGCAGAGAAAGCAUUUGACAAAAUAAAGCACCCUCUCAUGUUCAAAACAUUAGAAAAACUGGGGAUAUUAGGAACAUAUCUCAACAUUGUAAAGGUAUUUAUGCUAAACCCAAAGCAAAUAUUAUUCUAAAUGGAGAGAAAUUGGAAGCAUUUCCUCUAAAAACUGGAACAAGACAGGGAUGCCACUUCUAUUCAACAUAAUCCUUGAAACUCUUACCAGAGCAAUUAGAUAAAGAAAUUAGAUAAAAGAAAUUAAAAGGAUAGAAAUUGGAAAAGAAGAACUUAAACUAUCAUUAUUUGAUGAUGACAUGAUUCUGUACUUAGAGAUCCAAAACACUCCACCAGAAAACUUCUAGAAUAAUUAGUAAAUCCAGCAAAGUAGCAGGAUACAAAAUCAACAUCCAUAAAUCAAAUGCAUUUCUAUACAUCAGUAAUGAAAUCUCUAAAAUAGAAAUUAGGAGAACUACCCCAUUCACAAUAGCCUCAAAAAAAAAAUACUUAAGAAUCAACUUAACAAAAGAGGUGAAAAAAUCUGCAAUGAAAGCUAAAGAACACUAAAGAAAGAAAUUGAAGAAUACUUAGAAGAUGAAAAGAUCUCCCAUGCUCUUGGAUAAGCAAAAUUAAUAUUGUCCAAAUGGCCAUACCACCCAAAGCGCUAUACAGAUUCAAUGUGAUUCCAAUUAAAAUCCUAACAUCAUUCCUUAUAAAAAUAGGAAAACAAUCAUGAAAUUCAUUUGGAAAAAUAAGAGACCUAGAAUACCCAAAGCAAUCCCUAGCAAGAAGAGUGAAGCAGGAAGCAUCACAAUACCAGACCUUAAACUCUACUACAAUGCUAUAGUAACAAAAACAACAUGGUAUUGGAACCAAAAUAGACAUGUAGACCAAUGGUAUAGAAUAAAUGACACAGAAACAAACCCACAUAAAUACAGUUAUCUCACACUAGACAAAGGCACCAGAAGCAACCUAGAUGUCCUUCAAUAGAUGAGUAGAUAAAGAAACUAUACUAUAUACACAAUGGAAUACUACUCAGCAUUAAAAGAGAAUAAAAUUAUGGCAUUUUCAGGUAGAUGGAUGGAGCUGGAGAAUAUCAUGCAAAGUAAAGUAAGCCAAUCCCCAAAAAACAAAGGCUGAAUGUUAAGUGGAUGCUGAUCCAUAAUGGGGAAGGCAUGGGAAAAAAUGGAAAAUUCUCCAUUUACAAUAAUAUUGGCUUUGAGUUUAGCAUAAAUUUGGGCAAAGAGGAGGGACGGUGUGAGGGUGCAUGGACAGGAAAGAUGGUGGAAUGAGAUGGACAUCAUUACCCUAGGUACAUGUGUGACUGCACAUAUGGUGCGAUGCUACAUCGUGUACAACCAGAGAAAUGAAAAGUUGUUCUGCGAUUGUGUGCAAUGAAUCAAAAUGCAUUCUGCUGCCAUAUAUAUCUAAUUAAAAUAAAAAAAAUUAAUAAAAACACACAAAAACAAAUUCUCAUAUUGAAAAGCUCAUUAUUCACUCUCAUAUUUGAUGGCACAUUAUACUACUAGUUUUUGAAACACUCUGGUCUGUGACACAAAACAUCUUGCUCUUCAGUGGUUUUCCUCUGUACAGGUAUCUGGUGUUCUAUUUCUCUGCUUUGUUAUUUACUCCAUUCACUUCCAAUCUUUCCCAAACUCAUGGUCAGUUCUUAUUGUUUUACUUUGGUUUUGUUUUUUGCUGUUCUCUUCUCUUCCAUUUUCUUUGUUUUUGGAGUUCAUAGCUUUGUUUAGAAAAAGAGUACAGAUAAGACAUGCAUAUAUUCAGCCAUGGGUAGUUACACAUCUUUCAAAAUUAUUAAAACAGCACCAUUUGUUUGCUAUUCUUUGAUAUUCUAAGAUUAACAAUGCUGGCAGUAGAUUAGAAAGAAGGAACAAAGUAGGUGUGGUCUUCAGAGGACAUGUUCAGAAAUGCCUCAGUCUAGUCUGACUACCCCCAAAUUUCUGGAUUAGAAAAUCCUCUAUUGUGAUUCCUCCUUUAAUUGACCUAGACACUAAAAAACACAGGUUUUAAUCAAAACAGUGUGACUAAUUCCACCUUCUAGAUUUUUAUGACACAAACCAGAAGUCAUGUCAAACCCUCCCCCAGACCCCUUGUCAGUCAACACUAAGACAGGCUGAGUUUUCCUCUGUUCUGAAUCAGUCUACUUCUUACUUUCUCCAUAGCCAAGAGUGAGGUCCAAGUCACCUUCAUCUUUUCCUUAAAUUUCUGUCAAAGCUGUCUAACUGAAAUGGCUUUCCCUCUUUCCAUGUCUCUGGUCUUUAGAGCCAUCUUCUUUAUAUCAUGGAUGGAUUCGUGUCAUGGUCUUGGAGAAAUCAUUUUGAGUUGCCCAUUUUUCUUACUGAAAAGAUCCAAACCCUUCCCAUGGUCUGUAGGGACCUGUGUGGUUGGACUCAAUUGUUAUUUCUCAGUUCCAUCGGUCCCUCCACUGUGCUGAUCUUUUGAGUUCCUGCUGUUGCAAGCUCUUCCCGUCUCUACCUUCAGGGACUUAUUUUGCCUGGAAUUACUGCACCCUCAACAACUCAAUUCCUCACAUGCUUAGCAUUCAAGUCACUACUUAGUAGAGUGACUGGUCAGCUCCAGGAGAAAUCUUGAGACAUUUGCAGAAAUUGUUCAAAUCCCAUCUCUCUCUUUUGCAAGCUAUGUGACUGUUUCUGAGUCUCUUAUGAGCCCCCUGGGCAGGGGGCGGGUACCAAUUUGCUCUUCAUAGGUGGAUAUAUUCAAAUAAUGAUUGUAAAAUAUUCAUCACAGUGCCUUGAAAACAGGUUGUAUUCAAUAAAUAUUAGUUCAUUUCUUCUCUCUCUCUCUCUCUCUCUUUCCUCCUGGCAAACUAUCAAUAAUGAUUUGGAAAAGGAAGGAAAGUUUGGAGAAAAUUUAAUGCACAGUAACAGACCUCACAUUAAUACAAAUAGGCUGAUAAACAUUUUUUCUCUCACAGUUUAAUUAUACACUUUAAAAAUAAUUUCAAUAAAUGAAUGAGCUCUGAAACAAAUGACAAAAAGAAUCAUUUCUGAAAUUCUUACAAAUAUUUUUCUCAUUUUUUUUAAAUAAAAAAAUUCCUAAUCUAGUGUGCACCAUUUGCCAAGCAACAAGCCCUGGAGAUAUUAGAAGGUCCGUUAUCCAUAAAGGUGAGAUAGUCAAUGUAGAAGGGAAAUAGAAAAUGUUUAAUAAUAAUGGCAAUGCUAAGUGUUGGGUUUUACACAUAUAUAUAGCACUUUUUUCGGAGCAUUUUAUAAAUCAAGGAAAAUAAAAUAAGGUUCUCAGAUAUGGUAGAUUGGAAAAUUUUAUCUUGGAGAAAUCAAGUCUAAAUAUGGAUGCUUGAGGACUGGGGCCCAUUCUUUCAGAAGGCUUUUGUUUGACAGACUUGCCCUGAGCCUGACCCAAGGAGAAUUUCAAUUAGAAUUCCCCUUAGCAACCCCAAAGCCGGAGGCAACCCAUGGCAUACCACUCUCACAGGAGGUAUCGCCUUCAUGAUUCUUGGCCAAAAAAGAAUUCUUGUCAAGACAUCUUUCACUUCCUCCAAUAGCAUGAUAUUGCAUGCACAAUUGCAAAUAUUCUCAAACACUUUGGUCUUUUCCUCUACCUUUCAUUCAAGGAUGCCAUGGUGCAUCUGAUACUUCAAACAAUGUGCUGUCAAUCAAUAGCCUAAAAUUUGGACUUGCAUCAAUUACUUUAGAUUUGAUUUACUCACUUUUAAGAUAUGCAACAAUCUUUACUUAAUCAUACAACCAAAGUUAAAACACUAGACUGUGAGUUUUAUUCCAGCUCUAUUCCACAGUACCUAUGAUAUGCAAUAGGCAUGUUAUCCCUUCUCAGAAUAUCAAUUUGUGGUUCUUUGCAAACUGUAGAAUGACUAGGGUCUAUCAAUCAUAUUGAAUUUAUUUGGAUAGAAACCAUGUAUACACUAUAAUCUUUGUGCAUGAGAAAUUCUGCUUUUGAUUUUCUAUUUUAAAAAUCAUACUAUUUUAAUAGUACUUAAUCACUUUAUAUUUUCUUUUCUCUAACUUUGAAUUUAAGAUAUCCAAUUCCAAAGAAAGAAUGGAAUCCCCCCCCCAGGAUUAAAAAUUUGUUCUAUUAGUGUUUUGGGUAAUUUCCCAUCAUUGGACUUUAAGUAUGCAGAAAAUAUAACCUAAUUUUUAGUGUGUUGUAAAAAUCAGUUGAAGCUUGGUGUGGAGGUACAUGCCUGUAGUCCCAGCAGCUCAGGAGGCUGGGACAGUAGGAUCACAAGUUCAAAGCCAGCCUUAGCAACAGCAAGGUGCUAAGCAACUCACUGAGACACUGUCUCUGAAAAUAAAUGUGGCCAAGUGCCCCUGAGUUCAAUCCCCCAACAAUGCCAAAGUGGUGGAGGAUUAAAGAUACUGUGUCCUCAGGACCCCUUGAGAGGGCCUCAUGGCUCAGCCUUGGGGCAGAUAAGAUCUUGGAGAUGAUUCAGGGCAAUUUGCUUGUUAGCGUCCAUGUCUCUCUUAGUCUAGGGAUCUUAACAUGUUUUCUUCUUCUCCCUUAUUAUUUUCCCCUCUGUAGAGGGGGAAAGUACUAGUCAUACAACAUUUAUUGUCUAUAAUAAAAACACAAAUUAAAACAAAAAAACUCUUAGAGGCAGCAGAGAUGGUAAGGAUCUCCAUCAUUCAUACUUAUUUCUCAUGCUCUGUUUUUGAACAGACGAGAAGACGCAGUUCAGCAGAAAGGAGAGGCUGGGGAAAACCCUGCUCUGAGGUUGGGGCAGCGGCAGCAGAAAGCCGUGGGCUAAACUAAGCUGAAGUGAAAAACUGGGAGUGACAGAAAAUACUUGACGCAUCGAGAAAGUCACCCACCGAGUUAACAGGUGUUAUAUUCAAUUAAACAACAUGAUUAUAUUUCAUGAUAUUUUACAGAGAAUCAGGUCCCAACAGGAGUAGAUAUUAUAAAGGUGCUAGUCUGCAGUCAUUAGAUGUAUCCUCUCUGAGAACCAGAAUCUUGCUGGAGUCCCCAGAGAGCCCAACUGACUCAGAUCCCAAAAGUCUUCAGUUAGCCAAAGUGACUUCUUAAUUCAGGUCUUCAGAAAGAAAUACAAAUAAAUAAUUUGUGGAUAAUGGCAACUCACAUCAUUUAUCAACACAAACUAGUGGCAAACAGUGUCCUAGGCAAGUUCUACACCGAUCCUUACCACAGUCCUACAGAUCUAGAGGUGGAUGUGAUUCCCUCUAUUUCGUAGUUGAGGAAAUGGAAACCUAGAGAAUGUAAGCCACUUGUCUUACUGAAGCUAAAUGCAAAUUUCCAAAGUUAUGUCUGCAUGUAUACAUUCCACAUUCACACACAUCUUAAGGCUCAGGUAGGUGUCUUUAUAGGAGAUGGCUUGUGAUUAAUUUACACUAGAGAUAUCAAGGAAAUGCAAUUUAGCUUCAGGUUCACUAUAAUUUUUUGUACAUCUAUAUUCUAAAGUCGGUUCUGGGCUUUGCACAGGGAAAAACAUAUAUGGAUUACAAAAGAUUUCAACUUUGAGGUUAAAGAUGGAUGUGAAUAUACAUUUUUUUUUUUUAUUUAAGGGGUUGAACCCAGGCUGCUUAACCACUGAGCCACAUCCUCAACCCUUCUAUUAAGUAUUUUUGAGAUAAGUUUUUCUAGGGCCUCACUAGGUUGCUGAGGCUGGCCUUGAACUUGCAAUCCUCCUGCCUCAGCCUCUUGAAUUUGCUGGGAUUACAGGAGUGUGCCACCAUGCCAUAUUUGUAUGAUUUCAUCUGAGUGCAAAAACUUCAUGAGAGAAGUCUGGGUCUGGCCUUGGAUGGUCUGUGACCUUCUGCAUCAUUCCUGGGACGUGUGCCUUGGUCAUUUCUGUGUGGCAGGCUUCCAGUCUCACAGGUUGUUAAUGAAUUGAGUACUUCUAACUGUACUGGAGGUAAAUCCAGGGGACCAGAGCUGACGGACAUUUCCUUCUGUCUCAGGGAUUUUUAUGACUCUAUGUGUAUAAUUUACUCAAUUUAUUCCAGUCUUUAAAGUUGUCUACAUCAUCAGUUAUUCUGUCAUAGUGUCUCCCAUUUGUUUUCUUUUACUAUUUCACAAAUCCAUAAAAAUGCUAGUGGUAAGGACUUCCCUUCUCUCUGCCCAGGAUCAAACCUGCUGCCAAUACCCACUGCCCCCUCCACAUCAGGGUAGUGGCAAGUAUUUCCAGGAUAUCCUUUGUUUUGCUCAGAUAGGACAACUUUUAUCGGAAAUAGAUUUCCUCAAUUCUCUUAGAAGCCCCAAGUCUGCUAUCAAAUAUCUCCCAGGGCAGUAAUUCAAGUUAAGAAUUAUCUUCUGCAGCCUUCCUGAGAUCUUGCUAAUUUACUGUUUCAGGCCCAUCUAUCUCUGAAAUAGAAGAGCAGGAUUAUGUAGUUAAAUACGCUUUUUCUUGCUUUCUUACAAGUUACUAAAUGUGAACCAUUUGAUCAAUUGGAAAACAAAGAAAAGAAAGGCAAGUGUGUUUUUUAUAUUUUCUAAGUAAAUAAAAUUUGGAAGAAGAGAUUAUUCAUUGCAGUUGUCUCUUUAAAAAAGGAUUUUCCUUGAAGAGUUCCUUGGAGUGUACAUGUAUGUAUUUUAUCUCUCAUUUGAAAUCUGGGUUCUGACUUGGUAACAAUUUGCUGAGCUUACUGGGGAGGGCAUUUGAACUCUCUUGGUCUGAGUAAACCCAUUUUUUUACAAUGGGGGUCAGGAGAAGGGCUCUUUUAAGUUUUAUCUCAGCUUUAACAUUUGGUGAUUCUAUUGUUUGAAAUUAAGGAUCAUUUCUUACAAAUUUUUCUGAAAGUUCCAACCUGCCCUGAACCAGUCCUUAGUCAGUAGAGACUAGAUACAAAUAAAUAAAGAUUUGUAGGCUUACAAAAUCUCAGAGUUCAAAGGGACUGUCAAGGUCACAGAGCCCAACCCCCUAUGGAAAUACCUGAAUACCUUCUACAACAUCUCCACCAAGUGGCCAACCCUCUGCAGGUGAGCGCCUGUCAGGCCUCACUACCUCCAGAGUGAACCAGUUCUUUUCUGUGGCUAUUGUGAUUUUUUUUUCCUAGUUGUUCCAAAUGCUCUGCCUCACAUUUUUCUCUCCUGUGCCUAAAUUUCACUAGUUAAGACUUAGAACAAUCCUAUAGAUACUUGAAAAUGAUGCUGCAAAUAUCCUCAUCUCCAGGACAAACAACCCCAUUCUCAAAGCAUUCCUGUUGUAAAAUGUCCACAGCAUGUUCCGAUUCCAACCACUUUUGUCUUGAUUUGGCCCAGACUAUCAGUGUUCAUUCUAAUGGACUGCAGGACCAAUCAAGUGUCCUCUGUCAUUUUGGGUGAUAGAAUUUUGAAGUUGACUUUCAGAAAGAACAAAAGAGAAGCUGACAGGAGAUUGUUACUGUAAUCUCUGAACAACAACAACAAAAAUAAAGGAACCUUAGCAAAGAUGGAGGCAGAAUUCUAAUGUUGAUUAGAUAUUUUGGUUUUUGGCUUCAAAGCAUUAUUGCAAAUAAGGUCUUCACCGAGUUCUUCCCAGUUCAUGGUUUAAGUUACUUGUACAAAACUGGUAUCUGAAAGGCCAAGGAUUCCAAACAGUUUUUCAGGUUCAAAACCCCCACAACAUCCCUGGUAUGAAAGGGAAAUUUUAGAUACAUUAUAUGAUAAAAACUAAUUUUGCAAAUAAGUGGAUGGAGUGAGGAAAAUGGCCCCCUAAUUGUUUUUCAAAAACUGCUUUUGAAACUCUGCAGAGAACAGCUCCCCAGAUAGUGGCCACCAUACAAAAAGGCCAGAGAAUGGCAAAAGGAUUUCAUGCCCUUUUAUGGAAGUGAAAAUGAGUUCUGUAUGUUGGUGUGUGGUCAUUUUUCUCCAAGGUUAGUUCCAUCCUUCCCACAAGGAACCUUAGAGAAGGGAUUUUCAGGUCAGUGGGUAACGUCAAUGAGCUCUGUGGAGGUAAUCCACAUGAGUAGUCCAUAGCCACUCCAGGUCCUGGACAGUCACACAUAUCUCUACAUUUGGCUAAGUCUCAAUUAUUUUUUUUGUUGGAGAACAUUACACUUAAAUGAGCUUUAUUUAGAGCAUCAAUUUCUCACCACACACAGCAAAGCCCCCAUGCUCCAAGCCUGUCUACUAUUGGUCUAUGACAGGUCUAUUGUUUUAAAAGCACUAGGCUUACCAGGAGGAAGGGUUCUGCUCAAUAUGGUCAAUGACAUGGUCAAACUUCACCACAAGAGCUCUUAAAGUUCUCCAAGGAAGGAAAGUUGGAGUGUUUAACUCUGCCCUGCUGUCUUCAGAACAGGGUUUGAUGACUUCCCAAGGUCAUAGUAAGAAGGUGGCUGGACUGGGAAAGCCUUUGUGGACUUUGAGAUGCUGCUUAAAGGAACAGGCCGAUGCAGAUGGAAUGUUCUAAGCAUCCCAUCUGGCCUCACCACAGCCCUCAAUGCACUGCAGUCUGUGUUCUUGUCUAGACUUUAAUCCUCAGAUUCCUCUAAGGCAUUGACAAGUGUCGUAAAUUUGUGAGCCAGGAUAGGUGUAAGACAAAAGAAAAAGUUACUUGGAUUGUUAGCCAUUGGUCCUGCUUAGUUACACUUUAUGCAUGUAAGAGCCCCACCCCCAAAAAUAUUAUCCAAUAAACAAAAAUGGGGCCCUUAGGUCUCCCAUUAGUGUACCAUUUCAAGGCAAAUUUCCCUUCCCAAUGUCAUCCAUCACUAAACACAUAUCCUUCUGCAUCUCUGCCAGACAGACCAUGUGAUUGUGCUCACCACAUAGGGAAACAGAAGGGGUGGGGUUGGAGAAGGCAGGUCUGAAUUAAGAGCCACUUCUAAAUCAUAUGAUAUUAUCUAUUUCUGUGUUUGGACUUCAUAAUAACUGCUACCUUGAAAAGUUGCUGAGGCUUACACAUAAUGUGCAUCACAUACUAUACAUCACACAAUACACGCCAUAUUUCACCCACAUUGAAUAAGCCAUCAAUAAACAAAAGAUAACUCUGACCACAAAUGCUUCCACUAAUAGCAUAUCUACUUCUGUGGCAAGGGAAGAUAAUGUGAUCAAGACUUUGAGUGUGGAACAUUCCAUAGUUUCUGAAUGAGACAAUGCAUGUUUCAUUCACCAUUGAUCUGAACCAUCAAAACAUUCAAGGGUACAAGCUGCAAUGUCUGCAUCAUGCCUGGACAUAAUCCCUUACACACACACACACACACACACACGAACAAUCUGAAAUGCCAUCAUUUAUGGCUGCCCUCAUGACCUGGAGACUGGAAAUCACUCCUGUAGACCUCUCUAAGGCCCCUCUAAAACUUCACAUACAGCUGGUAUUCUUAGCAUCUACCCUUGCAUCAGUAAGAGUUUGUGAUGCUCAAAUGAACCGAGUUGCUAAAAGUGGAGGUAGGGGAGGAGAAAAGGGCUGACUCCUGUAAGGUGUUAAUGACAAGGAGGAGAUGUGGUUACUGGAUAUCAGGGGCAGUUUUGAACAGCACGAGGGGGCUUGCAGGUGAUCCUUCCUGUGGAAACAGGGUGACUCUUUGUGGUGAGUCACCUGUCUGGGGUUCCCCCAAGUCAUAAACACCAGACGAACCUAGGAGCCUUUGAAUAGCAAGGCUUUAUGGGAGUGUGGACCCAGAGUCCUGACCCCUGCAUGCCGGUCUUACUGCUGCCACUUGCUCUUUUGCUGUGAGGUUCUGGACACCAGAUAGUCCCUCUUGGAGUCUGUCCUCCUAGGUCCAUUGGACUGUGUGGGUGUGUUUGAGGGUGAGCUUAUUUACACUGACAGCUCUGCACUGACAGAGAGAACAGACAGUGAGAAUGGGAGAGGGGAUGAGAUGGGGUAGUCAGGCCAGUGUCAGGGAACCCUGACCCAGCUCCUUCCUUCUGUGUCAGCUACUAAACUUGGACUAAAGGCACUGAACAAAAAUGCUCCCUGUAGUUUAGACAGAGAGGCAAUUCUGAAAAUAGCCCACAGCACCCUCUGAAAAUAUUAUGGUAAAUUCCAAAACAAAGAGAAGCCAAAAUCCUGAGCACUGUACAUUUGACCCAUGGCAAAGGGGAACCUAGAGACUGCUGGAAGAUUCUGGGGGUCACUCCUCUGCUCUUUCAGGCAGAGAGAGAGAGACAAAGAGAGAGAUACAGAGACACACAAAGAGACAGAGAGAUGGGAGGGGAAAGACCAGGGACAAGAUAUAGACUCCAAGAGCAUGCUCCCAAGGACCCACUCCCCUCAAUUAUGUCCCACCUCCUACAGUUUCCUGAACCUCCCAGGAGUCCUUUCAGCUAUGAAUCCCUUAAUGGAUUAAUCCACUGAUGAGGUCAAAACCCCCAUGAUCUAGUUGUAUUCCCAAAGCCCUCUCACUGAACAUUGCUGCACUGAGGAUCAAGUCUUUAACACAUGAGCCUUUGGGAAGCCUUUGGAGAUCCAACAUAACAUAAAGAAAUCCAUUUAAGUAAGGGGAUCAAGACAUACUCUUAAACAACAACAACAACGCAGUGGCAACUUAAUAAGAUUCUGAAACUUCUAAAGUUUCCAAAUCCAAGAGUUUUAUUUCUUGCCUUCAUCCUAACAAUGAUUAAAGAAGACAAUGAUAAUGGUGAUGGUGACAGUGAUAGCAACUAGACUCCUGAUGAGGAUAGUAAUCCUAUUAACUAAGAUUUAUUAAUCUGUAACUAUGUGCAGGGAACUUGGCAUGCAGGGAUAGUUCUCUUGUGCCAGUUUUACAGCUAAGAGAAUUGAGACACUGGCUUGGCUAAGAUCAGACAAUUUUACAAAAGGAGGAACCUUGUUAAACCCAGAAUCUGAGCUCUUAACUGUUCAGCCUGCCCUCUGAUUGCUUCUUGACCUUACAUCGUUUGGUAUUGUGUGCUUUUUUGCAAGAGAAGUAGAAAAUGGGUUGCUGGCAUGGAUGCACUGUUCUCCAACAGAAAUGCCUUACUGGAGAAGUUAGGGGUGCCAGGUAUGAAGAGGACGGCAAAACAAAUGAAAUUUCUGGGGUCAGCCAGGAAACUAAUGCAUCCUUGAGAGCAGAGUGGUGACUAAGUGACCCAGGCAAGUGGAAUGAAUCUGGCUGCUAUAGAACAGCACAAAAGACAGCUAUUAAUAAAAAGAAGUGAUCUGGAUGGCUUAUCCCUAUCCACUGGCCCACCCAACUCCCAGAAAGGCAAAGAGAGAAAAGAAAAUUCUGGAAUGACUUCUGUUGGUGAUCUUAAAUCUUCAGGGUUGACAGCUCCCCUUUCCCUUAAGAGGCAUUUCCUAGCCUUACCCACUCUUUGUGGAAUUCAGAGAGUGAUUUUUAAAAAAUAAACUAGCCAUUUUCAGAAGCUGCAAAUAUUGAUAUUUACAAAGUAUCUUUCUCCUCUUGCUCAGUUGCAGAUGAAUUUGCACUGUGGAACUACUGGGGAAGGAAGACUCCCUUUUGUCCAGAUCAAGCAAAGAACUAGAGAGCCUUUAAACUUUCUUCUCUGUGCCUGGUCCUGUUCCACAUGUUCUCUCUGAAAAUUGCGUAGGGAACAGCUUGCAAAUUCCUGACAUCACGUCCAUUUCUUGACAUCUCUGAAGACUCACUUAAUGAGGUUCCCGCCAAAAAUUGAGGUUGAUCUAUAACUUGAAGAUGUUAGAAACAGAGAGUUUGGGGCACUUUGGGCUUUGGGGUUUUCUUAGCUAAAGUGCUAUAUAUAGUUGCUGCUUUUAAGUCCUGUCUACCCUGAAACACAGCUUCCUGCUUUCUUUGAAAAAGUGCUUGCGUGUGUGAGCAGGGGCCAGCCAUCAGAAAGGCCUGCCUCGAGAUCAGCAGGGUUUGCCUUUGAGAAAGCCACCAGCAUGACUGAGCUACUGUUGGAGGAAAUGGAAUCUUUUCCCUUUUUUCCACUUUCCUUGUUUAGCCCACUCCCCCUUCCCACUCCCACAGUCCUUUCUUUCUUUCUCUGAAUUACUAUUAUAAUAAGGUUAUAGAAUGCCACCCCUUAGUGUGAAUAUGGAAUCAGCACCUGACCUUCCCUAUGGCUCCUAUUGAGGUUCAGUGUUGAACAGUUACAUUUUCAUGGGUUUUGAAUGAAGAUGUGCAGAGAGAGAACGCUGGGCUUGAUGACAGAGGAAAGAGACCUCAUAUUCCAACAUGACACUGGAGCUUUGUGAUCUUGGCCAGCUGACUUUUGUUUCCCUAUCUGUACCUGGGCCAUGGGAACUUUGAAAAGAUACAUAAGAGUUUUAACAGCAGGUCACUGGUUGGUUACUGAGCAUCAACAAAAUUUAUUCUACAUACACUGAAUGCUGAGUAGGGAUUUAUUCCUGCAAAUACCAAAGUCACAACUUUUCCAUGUACUUUUUCAGAAUGCGUAAUUUGCAUGGGUGACAAAUAAGUUCUGAAAAUACCUGAAAAAAAAUUUUAACUCAAGUUCCUUUCUUUUAAAUAAGGUAUUGGUGAUGUUAACUUUGAUGACUCAAAGUUAAGGUGUGGUUGUCAGACUUCUCCUUUGCAAAGUCACUAUUUUUCCAUUUGCAAUUAUUAAAUAAUGUAUAGAGAAAACAUGACCCAAAAUUGGGUGAACUGACACCACGUAACUCCUAAUGAGAUGACCUGACAUCAUUUCAAUGGUUUUUCUGCCCAAUGUGCAUAAAGAGAAUCUUAUCACUAGAAAAUAUUAGGCAAAACUCAAAAGGAGGAUGUAUCUACAAAAUUAGUGAGUGGUUUUCUUGGAAAGUGUCAGGAUUAUGAAAUCAGAAGGGCUGAGGAAUCAUCUCCAAGUAAGACUAAGACACAGCAUUGAACUGCAGCAUGUGACCUAAGUUAGAUCCAGGAGCAGGAAAUGUUGCUUAUGAUCCAUUGGUUAAUUAAAUAUCUUAGUGCCAAUGUUAAAAUGAAAAUCAACAUCUUCUCAUUCUUAUGGGAACAUUCUUCCUCUUAGGAAAUAGCCUAGAAAGUAUUUAGGGAUAAAGAAGCAAGAUGUCUGCAGUGUAUUGUCACCAGUUACAGGAAAAAAAAAAGAAAAAAGAAAAAGACAAAAGAAGAGUAUAUAUAAGGGAAAGAGAGAUAAUGGUAAAGUAAAUAUGGAAAAAUGCUAAUAACUAAUAGCUCUGAAUGAAGGGUAAAUAAGAGUUUUCUUUGUGUGUGAUUCUUCCAAGCUUUGUGUAAAUUCAAAUUAUUUAAAAAAAAAUGGAACAAUCAAAUGGAAACUAAUACUUUAGGAGAGAGAAGGAACCAAACUGCAAAGUCAGAUUGCUAUGUUUCUCAAGAGUUCAAAGAAAUCCUGCAUGGUUUCCAUGAAUUGCCUUGGCUAAUACACUUACUGUAUCACUGAGUUAAUCCUCACAUGAUCACUAUAAUUACAGCUUCUAUCACAGCUGGUGACUGGGGUAGGGAGGAAUUCCAGAGAAGAUUCAAGCACUAUUUGAACUCUUUCCUAUAAUGUUUUGAACAAAAUUGCCAAAGAAGACCCAUUGAUUAGCAUAUAGCUAAUCAGGAUUUAUUGGGCCUUAUGUUUCAGUGUCAGGCUAGGCUCUGAAACACAGUAUCCAAUAGUGUCUGUCUCUUCACUCAGAGUUUAUAGUUCAGAUUGGGAGACAGUCAUGCCAUAGGUAGCAACUGUCCAGAGGGGUGGAUACUGCAGCAGAGAGACAUAGGAUGCUAUUAAGAAAGAAGAAAUGGGGAAAGUAACAAGUCAUCAUAAAGAGAUUGCAUUGCUAUAUGAAGAGAACUAUAGCAGAAGGAAAAGGACCUUUUAGAUGGAAAGAAACACUGUGGUCUAUGCAAUCACAGUAUAUUUACAGAAGUAAAUCACUUUGUGUCGACUGAAUCUACAAUGCAGUGGGAUGAAAGAAGAAAAUAUUGGAAAGAGCUUUUAUCAAAAGGUUCCCCUAGACUAGUCCAAGCUAGAAAGUCUGGACUGCUUUCAGUAUUCUCUUUAUGAUCCAGUACCAGGAAUCUGAGUCUCCCAAGUCUUGUGGUUGAUGGUCCCUAGUCACCAUUUUUUUAAAAAUUUUUUAUUGUUGGUUAUUCAAAACAUUACAUAGUUCUUGAUAUAUCAUAUUUCACCCUUUGAUUCAAGUGGGUUAUGAGCUCCCAUUUUUAUCCCAUAUACAGAUUGCAGAAUCACAUCAGUUACACAUCCAUUGAUUUACAUAUUGCCAUACUAGUGUCUGUUGUGUUCUGCUGCCUUUCCUAUCCUCUACUAUUCCCCCCUCCCCUCCCCUCCCCUCCCCUCUUCUCUCUCUGCCCCCUCUACUGUCAUUCAUUUGUCCCCCUUGUAUUAUUUUUCCCUUUCCCCUCACUUCCUCUUGUAUGUACUUUUGUAUAACCCUGAGGGUCUCCUUGCAUUUCCAUGCAAUUUCCCUUCUCUCUCCCUUUCCCUCCCACCUCUCAUCCCUGUUUAAUGUUAAUCUUCUUCUCAUGCUCUUCAACCCUACUCUGUUCUUAGUUACUCUCCUUAUAUCAAAGAAGACAUUUGGCAUUUGUUUUUUAGGGAUAGGCUAGCUUCACUUAGCAUAAUCUGCUCUAAUGCCAUCCAUUUCCCUGCAAAUUCUAUGAUUUUGUCAUUUUUUAAUGCAGAGUAAUACUCCAUUGUGUAUAAAUGCCACAUUUUUUUUAUCCAUUCGUCUAUUGAAGGGCAUCUAGGUUGGUUCCACAGUCUUGCUAUUGUGAAUUGUGCUGCUAUGAACAUCGAUGUAGCAGUGUCCCUGUAGCAUGCUCUUUUUAGGUCUUUAGGGAAUAGACCGAGAAGGGGAAUAGCUGGGUCAAAUGGUGGCUCCAUUCCCAGCUUUCCAAGAAAUCUCCAUACUGCUUUCCAAAUUGGCUGCACCAAUUUGCAGUCCCACCAGCAAUGUACAAGUGUACCCUUUUCCCCACAUCCUCGCCAGCACUUGUUGUUGUUUGACUUCAUAAUGGCUGCCAAUCUUACUGGAGUGAGAUGGUAUCUUAGGGUGGUUUUGAUUUGCAUUUCUCUGACUGCUAGAGAUGGUGAGCAUUUUUUCAUGUACUUGUUGAUUGAUUGUAUGUCCUCCUCUGAGAAGUGUCUGUUCAGGUCCUUGGCCCAUUUGUUGAUUGGGUUGUUUGUUCUCUUAUUGUCUAAUUUUUUGAGUUCUUUGUAUACUCUGGAUAUUAGGGCUCUAUCUGAAGUGUGAGGAGUAAAGAUUUGUUCCCAGGAUGUAGGCUCUCUAUUUACCUCUCUUAUUGUUUCUUUUGCUGAGAAAAAACUUUUUAGUUUGAGUAAGUCCCAUUUGUUGAUUCUAGUUAUUAACUUUUGUGCUAUGGGUGUCCUAUUGAGGAAUUUGGAGCCCGACCCCACAGUAUGUAGAUCGUAGCCAACUUUUUCUUCUAUCAGACGGCGUGUCUCUGAUUUGAUAUCAAGCUCCUUGAUCCAUUUUGAAUUAACUUUUGUGCAUGGCGAGAGAAAGGGAUUCAGUUUCAUUUUGUUGCAUAUGGAUUUCCAGUUUUCCCAGCACCAUUUGUUGAAGAUGCUAUCCUUCCUCCAUUGCAUGCUUUUAGCCCCUUUAUCAAAUAUAAGAUAGUUGUAGUUUUGUGGAUUGGUUUCUGUGUCCUCUAUUCUGUACCAUUGGUCCACCCGCCUGUUUUGGUACCAGUACCAUGCUGUUUUUGUUACUAUUGCUCUGUAGUAUAGUUUGAAGUCUGGUAUCGCUAUACCGCCUGAUUCACACUUCCUGCUUAGCAUUGUUUUUGCUAUUCUGGGUCUUUUAUUUUUCCAUNGGUUUUUGAGAGCAAUGACACUACCUUGCUCACAAUUGUGACAUUUCACACUCACAACUGUGCUCAGCAAUCAUAGGAGCUCAAGAGGUAUCUGUUAGUGAUUUUGACUGAAAAGCAUUCUAAACAAAAAUUAAACGAUAUUAUAAUAGAAAUAAAUUGAAACUUUCCUGAAUAUUUUAGCUAACAUACAGGUUUUGUGAAGACAAGAGCUACUUGAAUAAGCACAUGAAAGAUACCUCUCAUGCACAAAUUGGUUUUCUCUAGCCACUACACUGAAUAUCUAAAGUAAAACAUGAAAUCUCCAAGCUUGGGGAUACAUAUACUCUAAAGGCUGUCAUUUCCUUGCUGAGUUUGAAAAACCUUCUGAGAAUUGAUGGGCCAAUAACUCAGAACUGCCUGAACAGCUCAAAUGCAGGUCAAGACAACCUAUUUUAUCCCUGGACAGAAGAGCAAGCCACACUGUCCCUCCAAGGACUACCACAUCUUCAUUAUUGUUGAGAAUACACUGGAUCUUAGGACAGGGUCAGCACACCAUGGUCCAAAGGUCAAAUCCAAUCCACCACCUGUCUUUAAUGCUUUUUAAAAAUACUUGGGAAAAUAAAAGAAGAAUAUUUCAUGACAUUAAAAAAUUUUAAUGAAAUUCAGAUAAUGGUCAUUAUAAAGUUAGCCACACCUGUUUGUUUAUACUUCAUGGAGACUGCCUUCUCUACAGUGUAGAGUUGAAUAGUUGCAAUAGAGACCAUAUGACCCAGAGAACUGAUAUAAUUGCUGUUUGGCCUUUUUCAGAAAAAAAAUUCAGACUGCUGUUUUGCAGAAUGCAGAAAGAAGAAAUGUCCCCACCUUUGAGCCUGGGCUUAAAGGCUCUGUUGUUAUUUUAAAGAUUAUUAUGCCAUCUGCAAAAUUCUCAUCUUAUUGUAAUUUUUUGACUUAGGGUUCUCAAGUCUUUCUGCAGGUCUAUUUAACUCUAAAGAGCAUUCAUGCCUGUAUGGAAGGGUAAAUUCAUAAUCAUAAAGUAUAAUUCAUGAAUUUAUGUGUGUACAUGUUUGAUGUGCAUGUUUGCAUGCUACAGUUAGAACUCUAUGUGCAGAUCUGUAUUGACAAAUGAAGUGAAAUGUAAGAUGCUACCAUUUUACAUGUGCAUGAGUUAUUGUGUUCAUUCAUGAUCAAGCUUGGAUAAAAGGAAAGAUUAUACUGUCAAAACCAUUUUGUUUUUUAAUAGAUAACCAGAUGCUUAUAUAUUUAAUGUGAUGCCUGCAGUUACAUAUUCAUUGUUACAGAUAAUUUCUUAAGUAAAUUAGCCUGUGUAUGGCCUAUUUUCCUUUUGAGUAUUUUAUGUCACUCUUCUUUUCAUAUUAUUCAUGUGAUGCUAGCUUUUUCUGCAUGUAUAGAAGUAAAAAUAAGUUCAUUUCUGAGCCAACUUUUACAAGUUAUUUGAAUCAUGGACUUAUACUAUGUGUCUUCUUUAUUAAGACAUUAACUUUGUCAAAUUUCACAGAAUUUUUCCAAAAAUAGGGCAAGGUUCCUAUUUCAAUAGGCUUGCAGGAGGAAGCCAGUCUGGCCCUGAGAAAUGACUCAGAAGCCAAAUGGUUCUGUAAAGGAAUAUAGACCUUCUACCUUAAUAGAGUGUGGGGGGCUGAGGGCCAGCGACUUGCAAUUCCAUCAUGGGACUGCCAGUUCUCACAAAUAAGGAAGGAGGUGGGCAGUGGGGUAGAAGGAGGACCAGGAGGAACAUGGUGCUUGCCUCACUCCUGUUUGGUUCCUAACCAACAUUGGAACUUGGUCAAAGAUGCUUUACUUCUUGAUCUUCAAUUUCCCCACAUUAAAAAUGAAAAGGCUAGUUUAAUCUAGUUUUUAUAUUUUAAAAGCAGUUGACUCUGAUAAAAUAAAAUCCCUAGUACAAACAAAAAAAAAUAGGACUAAUGGAGUGGAGCUCAUAUGCAUGAGGUGAGGAAGCACUGGACCAUCCUGUGACCCUGCCUCAAGCUGAGUGCUCUGCAUCCUAGCAGGAGAGUUGCAGGAUUGUUUUGUAAGUCACCUUUUCUGGAGCCACAGAACCUGUGAUUCUGUGGAUAGGCUGCUAGGUGCAUGACUCGUUUUUCCCCUGCUACAUUAGAUUGGCUGAAAAAUCAUGUGUUUUCAUAAAUGAUCAGGUUUCCUUGCUGCAGCACUAUCUUCAUUAUUGUGUGUCAGACAAAUCCUGUGCACACAGACAGAGGCUCAGUCAUCUCAACCCCAUGCACUGACAUGAGUCAAUAGAGACGCAAUGAUUACCAAAGGGUCAUGCGUCUUACUCUCCAGUUUCACACCUGUCUUCCCUUUUAUAUCUGAGUUCUUUGAGGGAGGGGUCUAUAUUUUAUUCUGUUCCCAGUGCCCAGUUCCAUACUCAGUAAUAAAAAAUGUGGUGACAGUUUUCAAUAAAUGAACACACAAUGAGCAGUUCUAAACUUGUUAAAUAUUGAGUUUUAAAUGGGUGCAUGACUGGUGAGAGGUUAAUUUGGAGUUAAACCUAUCCAUUGGAUAAUCAAAUAUUGAAAGCAUCUGGCCAUUUGGCAAGCUGAAUUCUCACCCCUGCAUUAAAUUCACUUGUCACCGAGUGUGUCUGUCUAUAAGUCUCAGUCCCAGAGACAUGAACCACACAAUCACUACAUAUUCUCUUAAUGCUGACUUUCUAUGAGGCCAUUGUUAAGUUGACUCAGAAAAUGACCUCAUGAAGGUUUUUGUCAAAAAUUAUUCAAGUAAUUACUGUAAAUCUCUACAUCACGAAUCUUUCCAUCUGUACACUCCAAGCAUUCUCCUGGCACAGCUCCCCAAAGACUUAUUAGAGUAACUGAAAUUAGGCAACUUCACAUACUGAUCCAUUUUUGUGCACCAACCAAAUAAGUUCCCUACUUUGGUAUGUGGACUUGGAUUUCUUCUUCUGUGAACACUGACAUGUAUCACACACAUGCGUACACAUACACACACACACACAUGUAUGUUGACACCUGAUGACUCCUGUGACCUCAAGCUAUUGGUGGAGUCUUCCCUGGUAAAUUGCAUCACUGUGGGAGAGUCGGAGAAUUAUUAUACAAAAUUCUACAAUUUUCUCAAAGAAAGUGUGCUAAAUGGAAAGUACCAGUCAAGGCAAACACCAAAGCCUGCUGUCUGUAAUAUAGCAUCAUCAUCAAUUUCACACCAAAUCCCAAAUGUGCAAAGAAAUGGAAGAUUUCUCAUUUUUGGAAAACUCAUGUCAGGUUGAUUCUGAGUCCUAAAUCUUCUGGAUCAGAAGAAAAAACAUGCCAGCACAUGACACAUUAGUUGUUUACAAUACAAAUUGGAUUCCUAAGAGUUUAAAAGAAAAAUUGGAGACAGGGGAGGUAAGCAGUGAAUAUUUCACAUUUCCUUAUACUCCCCCUUCUUCUCUCCCAGGUGGCACUCAGAAAACCAGAACGGAGAGGGAGAAAGCCUUCUUGAACCUCUGAGGAACCCAGGCAUAGGUCUCUGCUCCACCGUCCAGUCCUUGCUGGCUUUAACAGAGAUGAUGCCUGUUUUCCAACUCGUCAUUAUUUGCUUGGACUGAAUUCACUGCAAAACAAAUAUUCUGGUAAGCUUCAUUAUUCUUGGGCAGCAUCCCAGCUAAAUUUAAUUCCCAGCAGAGUCACUUACUAACUAUGCAAUUUUGAUCAAGUUAUGUGUCUUGUCCUCAGUUGUUUCCUUCUAUAAAAUGAAGAUUUUUUUGAGGGUUCAAUGAGAUAAGACAUGUUCAGGAUUUGGCAAGCAUCAAGCACUGAAUAAAUAUGAAGAACUACUAUUAUUUGAAAUUGCGCACUAGGCACAGCCAGCCGGAAAUUUAAAGACACAGAGGAACAGGACAGCUUGUUAGCUACUAUUAUUAAUUUUAGUAGAGAGUUCAGUUUUUCUAGUGUCAAGGUUGGUGUCGAACACACUAGGCUGCAUGACUUUAGGUGGAUUUGAAGCAUCCCAUAAUACCUUGUAUACUUCUGCAGCUCUUCUGACUACAGACUUUAAAACCAAUAACCCAACAGUUAUUGAUAAGUGAUCAAGCCAAUACAUUUUUGAGAAACCCGACAGAGAAGGCACUUUCAUCUUUACUCUGUCUGGCUUUCAAUCAUUUCCUUGCAGGUACUGAGACCCAACACUAAUUUCAUAGCAUUCAAGUGUGAGAAACAUCAUUCCAAUACUGACUGUUAAAAGAAACCCUACAGGGGCUUCUGGCUGUUGGGCCUUUGUACUUUCUAAAUUAAUCACUUCUAAUAUGUACACAUCUGCAGUGGUGGUUUCAUUGACCAAUAAGUGUAUAAUCCCUUGCCAGCAGCUCGGCACCCUUUCUUCUAACUUAGUCAUUCUGUUCACAAGAAUAGCUCAUAUUUGGUUUUGGAAGAUCUUGGCCUUUACUCUGAUACCUCUAGUCAAACAGUUCCUCCAUGUCCUGUGGGUAUUUCAUGAACCUUGCAGACCCACCACCAAUGAUAACUUUUAUCUUUCAAUAACCAUUUAAUAGCAUGUAGUUUAGAUCGACUGUCAUGAGUGAAGAAACACCACUAUCAAGACUCGCGUUGACCAGGGGCAUAGCAAUCAUGGUACUGUGUUGGAAUUUAGGAAUCCUACGUGUUCCUGGACAACAUUUAGAUCAAAUCAUGGUGGGAAAAGAUGGCCUGUAUCCUAUCUGGAUCUUGCCUCUCCAGCUACUUCCUAGUUUUCCUCUUUCUCACUGAAUUUAAAGAAGUAUCUUUACAUGUCUCUCCAUUUUCUCACCUCCCUCCCCAUUCUGGUUUUCACUCCCACCCCACCAGUGUUUGUCCAGGAGUUCCCAGUGAUACUCAGACCUCAAUUCCCACACACCCUUUGGACUUAACGCCUUUUCUUGACCUUUGAGUACUGUGGACUACUACAUUAUUGAGGCAAUCCUUCUUUGAUCAGCCUGAUGAGAUGUUCUUCUGUGACCGUGAAGACCUUGGUCACUCCUUAUCAAUCUUUCCCAGAUGUUGCUCUUCUGAAUUUAUAUAUAGACCUCUAAAAACUCAGGGUUCUUCAAGGCUCUCAGGUCAUCUCAGUCUUGGGCAGCUCCCUUAGUCAUAGUUCCUGUGUCCUUGGUUUCAUUAAUAUCGCGAAGGCUAUGACUUCCAAAUGGCUAUUUCCAACCUUUUUCCAGUCUUUUUUCUAAGUUCUAGACCUCUGCUGAAUGUCUAGUCACUGAUGUGACAUUUCGGUCUGAUGUUUCACAGGUCAGUGCAGCCCAGUGAAUCCCAAAUUGAACUCGAAUCUAUUCUCCAAAGACAUGCUAUGUCUCCAGUGAUUUUCUCAAUAAGUGGAUCUUGAAACAUCCAUGAGUUUGGGGCUGUCAUCACAGUUAUCUUGGCCAUCUCUCUCAUCCUAGGGUGCAUUUGCAAUUAACACUCAGAUCUUGGCAAGACCUCUUCUGGUUAUUUUCUGAAUCCAGUCACAUACUGAUAUCUUCACUCCUGUAGAAUCUCCAGACUCUUCUGACCAGAUUUCAUCCAUGUGUUCUUCCCCCUUUUCCUUCCAUUCUGACAAGAGUCAGCUUUUAAAUGCAGCUCUCACACUGCCAUGCCCCUGCCCUUUGACAGUGUCCCGUUCCUCUUUGCUAUGGCUUAGGAGUACUCACGUGAUUCAGUCUCCGUCUCAUGCCCCAGCCCCGCUCCUGCCACUCUUCUCCUUCCUCGCAUCCUCUCAGCCACUGGGUGCUCAUCUCUCACCUCCAGCUGCCAGCACUUCUCCCUCUGCCAUUCCACCCCACCCACCUCCCACACCUAUGCAAUGUGCCGGCAGUGAGGCCUUUCCUGGGAUGGGUCCUUGACUUAGUCACUGUCAUUUCACAGUCUGUGCAUAGCAAUUAUGACCAUUCAGUGAUUCACAUGAUAAUAUGUUUAUGUUCUGUGUCUGGGAUAGACUGUAAUACCAUGAAACAGGGCCCUACUUGCAUUAUCCGCUCUUCUGUCUUCAUCACUAUCACCGUGUGAAGGUUUCUGUUGAAUAAAAGGCUGAAUUGCUCAUAUGGCUUCUGCUAAGGUGCUAUAAGCUGCUGACAGGAAACUUGGCAUUUUACCCAAGUUGCCUCGCCUCUGUCCCUCCACAGUGUAGGGUGAAUAAUGCCUAUCAGAGAGUUCUAGUGUAAUGAGUAAAUAUUCGUCCCCAAUUUUAAUAUACGAAAUUCUGUAGGAACACGUUCAGAGAAUGUCAGUUGAAUGAAUGGAUUACAAAAAUGGAUACAGAGAGAGCUUGGUUUGGCACAUCGGAAUUCUCCACAUAUCCUUGGCUAAAGGAAGAACUAUGGUAACAAAGUAGGCAACAUCAGCAUCAAGACUAGAAAAUGUGAGGAGAGGAUUUGGGGGUUAAUUUUAGCAUGUUCUUAUUUGAGGAGUAGCACAUUGACUAGUGAUGUCCCAGGGAGGGACACAUGGUGGGAUUUCUAAACCCUCUCGCUCCAGUUGGCUGAGCUACAUUCACAGAGCUGUCUUCUGAGAUCCAGAAACAGACUGGAGCUGUGGGUCGGUAAAGCGACCACCCCAGAGCACUCAGCACUACUGUUCACUGGCACAGACUAUAUCUAGAGAGCCAGAGAAAACUUCUGUACCAACUUCCCAUUAAGAAAUUCACCUACAAUAAUUGUCUCUUUCAGGGAUAGAGGUGGACUCAUGAGAGGAUGCUGGAGCAAGCUAACCGCAGCACAGCUGGUGUUCUUCCUCACACCUCCGCAGAAAAGGGGCCAGGUGCCUUUCUAGGAAACAGAACUUUCUAAAUUGUUCUCUUGUCAUGCAUUACUUGAGAGUGGCAAUUGCCAAACUAUUUUGAAGAAAGCGGGUUAUUAAUAACUACCCACCUACCUACUAUCUACUUAAAACAUACCCUGGUAAAAACUCUUCUUUCCUUUUACAGAUUCUCACUUCCUUUCCUACCCUCCUUCCAUCUUUAAAAAUUAUCGGUUUUAGUGUCUGAGAGUCUAGCUCAAUGGGGGUGCACUUGCUUGUCAUGCUUAAGAGUGGGUUUGAUCUUCAGUACUGAAAAAAAUUAUUCAUUGUAUAAAUAGAUGCAUAAGCAAACAUCCUCACCACUCUCCACUUCACUCUGAGCCAGGAUCAGAGUAUUUGAAUUUUAUCAUGAAGAGAAGUCAGAGUCAGAAUGGGACAGGACUUUUGAGUCAGAUGGAUCUCUUUUCAAUCUGUAGAGGAUCUUGGACAGGUAGCUUGAGGAUUCAGCUCCUCCUCUACGCAAAGAGUAUAAAUAGCAGCACCUUUGCUGUGGCUUGAUGUUCUCCACCUGAUCAAGGAAGCACACAGCAUGUGACACAGAAGAGUACCCAGUGAAUAUUAACUCUUUACUUUCUAAUUUUUCUCUUGAUAAUUAAUUAAUUAUAUCUUAGCAAGCAAUGGGAUUUAAAUUCUUUGAGCAGUCACUUAUUAAUUAGUGUCCUUUCUACUUAGCUGUCUCCCCCACCUGUGCUCUACAUCAGAGCAACAUUGGCCAUUGAACUAGCCAGGGAAUCCUGGAUUGCAGAGGGGAUCUGAGCUUGGUGGAGGUUGAGCUCAUUCCAUCAAGUUAUUUAUAACUCUCAGGUUUGAUCACUCUAUUUUUAGCUGCAUUCAUGGAGAAAACAUUGACUAUUUCCCAUGUAAGGCCCUAUUAUGGGUUUCAUUGUGUCCACCUAAAAUUCACAUAUUUAAAGUCCUGAAUCCUAGUACCUCAAAUGUGGCUUUAUUUGGAAACAGGGUAAUUGCACAUGCAGUUAGUUAAAAUGAGGUCACUGGAGAAGGCCCUAAUUCAAUACAACAAGUGUCCUUAUAAAAAAGAGGAAAUUCAGACACAGACACACAUGCACUGAGAGAACACCAACAGAAAAUGAAGGCAGAGCUUAAAAUGAUGUGUCCCAGGCAGAAGAAUGUCAGAAGUUGCCAGCAAACCCCAAGAAGCUAAGGGAGAAGCAUAGAGAAGGUUCUCCUCCACAAUCCUCAGAAGGAACCAACACCCAUGACACCUUGAUCUUGAACAUCUAACAUGCAGAAUCCUGAGACAAUAUGUUCUAUCAUUUAAGCCACUUAGCUUGUGGUACUUUGUUAUAUGGUAGCUCUGGCCAACAAAUACAGACCAAAUGUGUUACAUAGCAAAAGAACUGUUUAUGAGAUAAAUGUGAAGUUAUUUCCCCUACUUCAAAGGGGUUCGCCCUAGUGAGGGAAACUCACACUGCACUUCCCAGUGACUUCAUACUUAGGGUAUCUCUGAUGGCUAGUUGCAGGUUUCCAUUCCCUCUCAGGCUGCUAACUUCCACAAUGUAUUUUCUCAAUCUCUUUUAAUGCAUUGACUUGAAAUGUGUGCACUGCUUCUUUAGGGUGAGGAUCUAUGUUGACCCCUUUAUCUCUACACAGUACUGUUGGGAGAGGGAACAGCCAGAAUUAUGAAGGAAGACACCAAAGAGGAGAAAAAUUACAUCUUGUUCUUACAACAUCCACAGAGGUGGUCCUGAGCCUCUUCCGAGGUGUUUCUCUUACAACCUGCCACUAUGAAUUUUCCAUCCAUACAGUGCUCUGAGUGUUAGAAAAUUACUUCUAAUUUUGAAAUAAAUUUGUUUUCCUGAAACUUUAAAAUGAGUGUAAUGCAGAAUAACACCUUCCAACGCCUUAGGCAAUUAAAGACUGAUACCAAAUGACCCCAGAGAUUCAUCUUCUUAAGAUCACACCUGACUCAGGAUGGAGGUAGCUUCUGACUUUGUUUAUGGUGAAUCAACGUUCUAGACACACAGGGACCUUUCAUGGACAUCUUUUUAUUUUCAAGGUGCAUUAUAAGUAGGUAUUGAACCCAAAUGAGGUUAGCAAUUUGUCUGAGUUGAGAAGUGAGUAACCAUGGGAUUCAUAAACUGGUCUGUUUGAAAGUAACCCGGGUCCUGGCUCUACAAACUCAAAGUCGACCUCUGUUUUUCAAUGGUGAGUCUGAUUUACCCUCUUGUUCUGAUGUUAAACAUUGCAUCAUGAAAGGACUGCAGUUCAUGACUGCAUCGCACAACCACCUAGCCCCCAUCAUCCUGCCCAAUCAAGAUGGGCUCAGCAAGUGCAGGCACCAUUUGGUAGAAGACUUUGGUAUCAACAAAUCUAAUAGUGCCAAGCAAAACAACCUUGAUGGACAACUGUUGCCUUGCCCAGCUGUUCAACAGAUGGGGAAAUGAACACCAAAAUGACCCAACCAUCAUUAAAUAUUUCUGCUUCAUAUUUUUUGUUAUCCUUGAAUAUUAGAGCAAUGAAACUAAUAAAUGAUACUGUCUCUAAAAUAGAGGAAGGAUUACACAACUGUCAAGGAUUGUCCCUGUAUUUUAUAGUAGGAAAAAUUUUGCUUUCAUGGUGUGGUGUCUGAGUUGUCUUGACCUGCUCUAUAAGCUCCAGCUAGACUUAGCUCUUAGACUUGGAUUCUAAGGGCUACAUGUCAUUAUUUAUUAAACAAAAAAAACAUUUGCAGUUUUGUUUGGAGAUCAAAUGUGAUGGUUUUUUUGAACACUAUGUAAAAUGUAUAAUGUGCAAUAAAAUGUAAGCAUUGAAGAAUUUUAGGUACUUGAUUUGACAGAUAAGAAUAACUGUCUGAGUGAUGGAAGAAAAAGUAGAGGAUUUAGGUAGAAUCACAAAGAAGAACCCCGCAAACUUCAGAAUAGGUUAGAAGAUGCAGAUCUGCACACCACAACAGCCUAUUACCUAAAAUAGCAGAGUGCUGCAUUUAUAUGAAAUCUAUUUGCCAUGGGUUCUGCAGGUAUUUUCAGAAUAGUGUAGAUUUUUUUUUCUUCAUUUUGACUUUGGUUGGUUUCCCUAUUGUGCAUCCAACAUUGAUUGUUAAAUGAAUGCCUUUCUUUAUAAACUUUAUUGGAAUAGGGGUGGUGUCAUUACAAAAGAAUAGAUAAGAUACAAAUAUAUUGAGAUUCAGCCACUAUUCUCAUAGAAGAGUAGAUUAUUAUGAAAGAUAGUGGGGAACAGCUUUGACUCACCAUUGUUAGAAACUGUGAUGCCAAUUAGGGACCUUCAGUUUAAGUAUAAAAUGGAAACCACCAGAUUAUAUAAUGCAAGACUCUCGUGAUAAGGAGAAGAACUUCAACUUACAAAGAUGGAAAGGAAAAAGAGAAUGGGCAUUUACAAUGCAUCCCUGGUCUGUCUUGCUUCAUAAAACUAAAUGUGAUUUGUUCAUCUUUUCAUUUCCCAUUGGAAUUUGUCCAUUUCCCUCUUAUGAUCCUUAUAUUUCUGUGUAUGUGUAGAUGAUGCUCUCUGCAGGCAUAGUAGAAGACUUUGUAGUUAAUGUCUGGAAUUGUGGCAAUUCAGGCUGGGACUAAGAGCUCUCUUGUUGGGACACUGAAGUUAGUAUUGACUUAUAAAUCAUGGACCAAUGUCAGACCCAGAAUAUUAGGGAUUUUGAAAGACAAGAUUCCACUGUGGUACUUAUGUCAGUUUCUUCCUUUAGCUGCUCAGGAGUAACUACAGUUCUUACUAAUCUACGUGUUCAGAUUCGAUCUUCACCCACCCCAAGUCUAUAGAUUAGGUAACAUAGAUGAAUGUCAAUGGAACAUUUAACACAAACUUUCAAUUUUAUUACAAAAAAUCAGGGAUAUGAAAACAAACCCUCAGCUUUGGUGCCACAGACUUUGAGGAGAUAAUAAUUUGGGGGAUAAUUUAAAAUGCACUCACUUUCUUGGAGAAGGGUCAUCACAGCUGAAAUUCACACUUUGCACAGAAUUGGGGGAAAUAAAAAAUAAUCAAAAUAGAGAACAUUUAUCAGACAGAUGUUUAUGAAGUCAUGGUGAAAACUCUUAAUACUUUCAUGACUGAACUUUGUACAAUUUAAACUAAGCAUCUUUCAUGUCUGUUCAGUAUCGAUUAGUCAGGCAAACCAGCAUGGGGCAUGCUAUGUGGAGUUUGUCAAAGCACCCUGAGCCAAAUAUGCACGGAGUCUGCAAAGGAGGCCUCAGCAAUUGCUCACAUCCUGGUACACACAUUCCUUUGCAAAGCGAUUGUUUCUCCUAUUAAGUUGUGAUACCCAUUUUCCCUCCCUGGUAAUCUGGGUUGGCCCUGUAACUUGCUUUGACCAACUGAAUGUGUCAGCAGUGACACCAAGCAAUUCACAAACCUCAGUUACAGGAGAUUUUAAUCUUUUGUCCUUUGCUCUAGAAAGGCUCCUGCCAGUCUGUGAAGACUCUUGAUCUCCUGCCUGGAAUAAAAGAAGCCAUAUGGAGCAGGGACACAUCUUCCAAGCUGUGGGCUUUGGACCAGUUCAUCAACACCAGAGCCAUUUGUCAGCAAUGGGAGGGAGGUGAUCUUGGAACAGCUACCCUCUAGUGAACCACCAAGCACAUGAGUGACCUCAAGCAAGACCAGCCAGGAUCCACCCAGCUGGGACCAGCCCAACUUGUUGGCCUACAGAAUGAUGAGCAGCUGAUUGUUAAGUGACAAUGUUUUGAAGUAGUUUUCAUACAGUAAAAUGGAAAAAGAGAAUGGGCAUUUACAAUUAGAUGACUAACAAAGCAAUGGCCUUCAGAAUAAAUUCUCUGACUUAAUUCAUCAAAGAUUGAUUAGUUCUAACACUAGAAAAAAAGUUUUCAUUCUUAAUGUUAAGCGUCUUUUAUAGAAUUAAAUUAACUAUUAGUCCAAGGUUAUAAAAGUAGACAUGAUGGGAUAAACUGUAACAAUGGAUAUUUUUCUCCUUUCAUUGACAAAUUUCUGUCUAUUCAUUCAUCCAAAAAUUUCUGUCUAUUCAUUCAUCCAAAAUCAUCUUUAGUAACCAUGUAAUCAUCCAUGAGAGACCUUUUUUUUCAGUUUGUAUUAAAGUCAAUGUUGUAACUAUAUAUGGAGUUGACAUUAAAACCUGUUCUAAAGUAGAAUUGGGUUUUUACUUCUUUUUUCUGUUUUCUUGACCUCUAUUCAUCAGCUAUGUUACACAACUGUGUACAAACCAGUCACAUUGGUCUAAAGGUAUGCC
Molecule: long non-coding RNA, 47045 nt
Filed under: Marmota monax (woodchuck)
Lineage: Eukaryota; Metazoa; Chordata; Mammalia; Rodentia; Sciuridae
Source: RNAcentral